Molecule: long non-coding RNA, 53909 nt
Filed under: Ananas comosus (pineapple)
Lineage: Eukaryota; Viridiplantae; Streptophyta; Magnoliopsida; Poales; Bromeliaceae
Description: long non-coding RNA (ACOM_LNC004297)
Rfam family: tRNA (bases 30139-30223)
Source: RNAcentral
UUAUAACUAUAGUAUAAUUACAGCUAGCUAGAUUCUGUGUUUGGCUUAAUUUAUUUAAAUCCAACUACUACAGUUGGAACUGGAUAAGAAAACUUAACCGCAAUAGUUAAAACUAUGCUUAAAUUGGCAACAGUUAUAACUGCAGUAGUUGGAGAGAAUAAUUUUAAACAAAAAUAUAAACUUAGACAAUCUCACAAUCACAUAUAUAAAAUAAUAAAAUUUUAAAUAUACGGUUCUCAACUGUAUGUAACCAGUGGAAUUAUUUAUAGUUAUGAUACUUUCUAUGAUAUAAGUAAAUAAAAUACAUACAUGAGUUAUAACUGUUGCAAACUAACUAUAUACAUUUAUAGCCGACCGUUCCUAACGCAAGUAGCAAAGAGCUUAAUGGUUGAUAUUUGAAGUCCCAAGUUCGAAUCUUAGUUGAUUCAUAUUUUUAACUAAGUUUAUUUUUAAAUGAAAUAAAUAAAACGAAUAGCAUAAUAUCUAUCUUUCAAAAAAAUACUGUAUAUAUUUAUAGUAAUAUGCAUAUUUAAUUAUACUGUAUUUUUAAUUGCAUCGAGCCAAAUGGGUGUCAAAUUAUCUAAUAGAGGUACCAAGCAAGCAUUGUUCGUAUAGAAGGGAACCACACCGUGCAUUAAAAGUACCAGUAAAAUCUAAGCUAACCAGCUAAAUUCAGACCGAAACCGACCCUGUUCCGUAGUCAUGUAGAGCUUACAGGAAAGUUCAUGCAUCACAUGCCCUCCAAUUAAUUCGUCCCCAUCCAGAAAUCAGCGGCGUAGUCGACGGAUUAGGCCUCCUCCUCGACUCAUAUCCGUUCCUCGUCCUCCGUUGUUGACUCUCACAGUAAUGUAAUGUAUACUUCAAUUAAUAAUGUACAAGCACACGCGCUGCAUACCCAUGGGUAGACACAUACAGCUGCAUCCGGAUUCCCAGUUACUGUACGAAGCUCACGCGAAACACUCCAGAACCAACCCAACACACUUCAUCUCCCUUCCUAUAUAUAUAUAUAUAUGUAGAGGCCCUGGCCUUCUCCUCCUCUUCCUACAAGACACACAACAAUCUCGCCUCUCCUCUCCUCUCCUCUCCUCUCCUCUCCUCUUCUAAAAUGGCUGCUUCUCACUUGUUACUAGUACUAAGCAUGCUUCUGAUGAGCUUAGCCCGUGCGUCCACGGGGUCUCGAAAACUCGCAGCUUUGUACCAGCCACAACCGAACCUCCUCACGUACCACGACGGCGCGGUGCUCGAAGGCGACAUCCCCGUCUCCGUCCUCUGGUACGGUCGCUUCACCCCGGCCCAAAAAUCCAUCGUCUCCGAUUUCCUCCUCUCCCUGAUGGCCCCCGCUCCCCAGACGCAAACCGCUGCCCCUUCCGUGUCCCAGUGGUGGGGCAGCAUCGACCGGCUCUACCUGUCCAAGGCCGCGGCGGGGGAGGGGGAGGGGAAGGCCCGGAUCCUGCUGGGCGAUCAGGUGUCGGACGAGGGGUGCUCUCUGGGGAAGUCGCUGACGACGCCGCAGGUGGCGGAGCUGGCGGGAAAAGCACGGGGGGCGGCGAAGAAGGGCGGCGGGAUCGCGGUGGUGCUCACGGCCGACGACGUGGCGGUCGAGGGCUUCUGCGUCAGCCGCUGCGGGGCCCACGCCUCGGACCGGGACUCCGGCGCCGCCUACGUGUGGGUCGGGAACGCGGCGGCCCAGUGCCCCGGCCAGUGCGCCUGGCCCUUCCACCGCCCCAUCUACGGCCCACAGACCCCGCCGUUGGUGGCCCCCAACGGCGACGUCGGGGUCGACGGCAUGGUGAUCAACCUCGCCAGCAUGAUCGCCGGCGCCGUCACGAACCCGUUCGGGGACGGGUUCUUCCAGGGGCCCAAGGAGGCGCCGUUAGAGGCGGCGACGGCGUGCGCGGGGGUGUACGGGAAGGGGGCGUAUCCGGGGUACGCCGGGGACCUGCUCGUGGACCCCGCCACGGGGGCGAGCUACAACGCCAAUGGGGCCCACGGCAGGAAGUACUUGGUCCCGGCCCUGUUUGACCCGUCGACGUCCUCCUGCUCCACCUUGGUGUGAGACUGGGGGAGGGGGCGCACAAUUUUUGAUUACUUUGGGACGCAUGGUUGUGAUGUGUGAAUAUGGCUUUAUAGUACGUUGUUGUGAUUUUUUUUGAUUCAUUUUGAAGUAUGUAUGUCCUCUCUUGUUAACUUGUUAGUUGUUGCUCUCCAAAAAAGUUAAAAAAAAAAAAACGUCCUCUCUUGCGACCGUAAUCUAAUCCAUCCAUUUUUUUAUAGUAAACAGAGUCAACGCUUACUUGGACGAGCAUAUGAGAAAUCCGUUACUUACGUAGGCCCAAAAUAGACCACUCAAAAACACGGCAGAUUUUGGUGUCUCGGCACCGACUUUGCAUAUAUAGUCUGCAAUAAGUCGCUAUUCCGUCGCCGAAUUCUAUGGUGUUUUCAACUAGCUCCGCACAUAGCUCCGCCGAGUCUGAUAAUCUAUAAAAACUUAAAAAGUAGAGAAUGCAAUAAAGUGUGUAAUAAGGCCGUCGAAGGCGUUCAAUUCGGAUUAGAUCGAUCUCCCCGCUUCAAUGGCGUCCACUUCCUCCCUUCUCCUCCCCUCUCCACCCUCCACCUCUCGUCGCCUCACCUCUCCUCACCUCCUCUCCUCACCACCCUCCUCCUCUCGCCUCCUCCGGCGACCUCCCCUUCGUCUCCGCCCUUCUCCGAUCGCCUCCGCCGCCUCUCCGCCGCCGCGCUCGGCCUCAACCGCCGCCGCCUCUCCGCCGCCGCGCUCGGCCUCAACCGCCGCCGCCUCGUCCCCUCUCCACGCCCUCAUCUUCGACUGCGAUGGCGUGAUCCUCGAGUCGGAGCACCUCCAUCGCCAAGCCUACAACGACGCCUUCGCGCACUUCCGCGUCCGAUGCCCCCCCGCCUCGCCCGAGCCACUCCACUGGGCCUCUGAAUUCUACGACGAGCUCCAGAACCGGAUCGGCGGUGGAAAACCCAAGAUGAGAUGGUUUCCUACUCAAUUCUCUCGCUCUAUCAUUCGUUCAAAACCCUAAUUCUCUGUAUGCGGUUCCGAUUCUUAAUGUCUUGUGUUGGUUGGGAUCGGCAGGUAUUUCGGUGAGUACGGAUGGCCUUCUUCUUCGAUCUUCGAGACGCCUCCAUCGAGCGAUUCGGAUAGGGAGAAGUUGGUUGAUGUCCUCCAAGUAAGCAGAGUUGAAUAGUUUGGAAAUGUGCUACGUACAUCCUCUUAUUGUUGAAUUAUUCGCCUAAAAUGAUCAAAUUAGUUUAGGAGAAAGGAGUUAUCAAGUGUUUUUAUGAUAUAAAUUAGUGUCCUGUUUUUUUCUGUUGAGCAUGCUUAAUUGCAUACAUAAAUUCGUAAUAUCAACUUCUUUUUUACUAUAGAACUUGGUUAGGAUAUUUUGCUGAAUUUUAACCGAUAUAUUGUCCUCGACCAUCGGAAUCUAUCCUCUAUGUUGAACGCUAAUAAUAAUUCAUCCAGGCGGUGUUCUUUCCAAUUUUGUCUCUUUCACAGCAGUGAGAAAUUACUUUUCGUUUGAAAUUGUAUUUACUUAAAACAUGAUUCCCUAAAUCGGCAGCAUAUCUGAGAUUGUUCUUUAACACUUUCCCGAGGUGCCGUUUCUAUUUUCCCGCGGUUCCAAUCAACAAGCUUAUACAUUGAUGCUGAACCUUUUCUUUUUCUUUUUUCUUCUGCAGGAUUGGAAAACCGAAAGGUACAAAGAAAUUAUCAAAUCUGGAACUGUAAGUUAUUUUUUGAAACCUGAUAAUAAAUUUUCCUGAUGAAUAUUGUUGCAAAAGAUGCUUCGCUUUGAAACUUUUAGCUAAUUGAUGAAGACUUUUACGUCAUUAGGUGGAGCCUAGACCCGGUGUUCUGCGAUUAAUGGAUGAAGUCAAGGGUGCGGUAAUAUGACUUAUUGCAUGUACCUUUAUGCGAAUAGAUGUUAGUUUGACUUCAUACAUGAGCUCUUUAAAUGUGGAUUUAGUUUUUUGAUCUUCUAUGUGUGUAUAUUCCUGUUGUUUGGGGACCAUCUCAGUUACAUUGUAGAAAAGGUGCUGAUGACAUCAAAACACUUAGUAGGGUUUAUCUUAUACUGUUGUAGGGUAUCAAACUUGCUGUUUGUUCCGCGGCGACUAAAAGUUCGGUUAUCCUUUGCCUUGAAAAUCUUAUUGGGAUAGUAAGCCAUUUUCUGUUGUUUCUUAGGUAACCUUGUCUUAUUAAUGAUUUGUUGUAACCUUGCGCUGACGCUGCUUUUUUUGGCCUCUUUCUCCUUUUAUGUUACCAAUAGGAACGAUUCAGGAGUCUUGACUGCUUUCUUGCAGGUAUAUACUUCAUUAUAUUUGUUUGUUCAUUCUAUACUCUUAAUAACAAGAUGUGAUCAAUGCCUAACUUUGUUGAAGAAUGAAUUCUCAAUGAACAAAUUAGUAGUUUGAAGUUCAUAUGUUCUUUCAAUUCCAACUUUGACAGAAAGUGACUCGUUCAAUCUCCUUUUGCUUUGUCGAAUUCUUGACAAAUAAUUUGUGCUGCACUUUCAUUGUUGUCAAAUGAUUUCCCUGGUUGCAGGUGAUGAUGUCAAAGAAAAGAAGCCUGAUCCGUCAAUAUAUAUUACAGCUGCUGAGGUAAUAAAAGAAAUAAAAACAUUUUUAAGUUUCCUUUCUUUUUAAAACUUACUAACUUCUCUAGCUAAUUUCUUCACUUCUGUGAUUAGAAACUAGGCGUGCAAUCAGAGAACUGUCUAGUAGUGGAAGAUAGUGUUAUUGGGCUACAAGUAGGUCCUCGCAUUCUGCAAUAUCAGCCUAUUUAUUGCCCCUUUUUCGGUCUUUGAGGAGAUUUUUAUUUUUGAUAGGCGGCAAAAGGAGCAGGAAUGUCUUGUAUAAUAACAUAUACAUCUUCAACCGCUAAUCAGGUGAAUUUAUGGUCUGCUUUUAAAACUCGCAGCACUUCACAAAACCUGAUUCUUCGCCUUGUGACUUUGUACUUUUUUUUUUUUUGUAUAUUAAUAGGAUUUUAAAGAUGCAAUUGCAACCUAUCCUGAUCUGAGUAGAGUGAGGUAUGUAUUGUUUCUGUAAUGUUUAAGCUUGCUUUGUUUGUUGAUGCAUAAUGGAAAGUUGCUGUGUUCGCAGGCUCGAAGACCUCAAGUUACUGCUCCAAAACACUUUGGUUUCUAGCUAAAAAUUUCCAUUCAUUUUGCCUGGGAGCAAUGCAUGGAAAUACGAGGCGUGGACACUGUGCUUCCAUGUAUUUGAUUUCCAAUGUUCAUUUAUUAUUUCUCCAAAUGAUUGGAGAUUGAGAUAUUCUAGUGUAAGAAUGUAUCUAUAUAGCAAGUCAUGUUGCAUCUUGCAGUAAGCAUCCUCUUUAGUACCUAUUCAAAAAUAAAAUAAAAAUAAUAUAAAAUCCUCUUUUGUUUUUAUUUAUUUCCUUGGUGAAAAGAAACCCCAUCUUUCAAUAGGUACUAUAUUGGUAGUUUUAUUCACAGAUAGCUUUCCAGAGUCAUUUUAACCUGUAGCUAAGCUUCAAGUUUAACCGGACUAAUAUACAAGAGUUUCUGGAGAGAACAUCAUAAAAUUAACAUCUUUCACAUGAUUUUAUUUUUGAAAAGCAAAUUCGGAUGACGAAUUCAUUAGCCAAUCUACAAGCGUGUCACUAGAAACAUACUACUUGUAGAAAAUAAAUAUAUUAAACCCUGAAUCUACAAAUUCUAGUACUGUUAAGACGACAGCUGGUAAUUACAUGAUAUCAAUUACAAGUUCAGUGAAAGCUCAGCGUGUGUCAAGGAUAUUAGCCCUUUUAUUAUUCACUCAGAAAUGUUGCCUCAGAGGUCAGAAAUUACGAUUCUCUAUAUUUGCCUUUCAAACAGCACAGGUUCAAAUCUUGGACGGUAGUAUCUCAUUUUUUGAGAGUUUGUGGGUGCAAUAUAUAUCUUUCGUUUUUUUGUUCUUUUUUCUUAAACAAGGUGAAGUGAUCACUGCACUGUAUGUAAUCGAAAAGAACAUAUAAGUUGAACUCAAAGGGUGUUUUUAGUCGCAUAUCCAACCGACGCUGAGUAAUAAUGCCGAAGAUACAGCACCUCUGACUGACAUUAAUGUAUGCUUUCCAUAUGAAACCAUCAUCUAGUCCCAAAUUUGUAACUUCUACAACAAUUAGCCAACGCAACUGCUUCAAUGAGGAAAAUGUCUCAUGCAGUUUGCUUUCCUCAAGCCAAACAAACCUCACGCUGAAGCUUGCUACACUGCUUCAUUUCAAGGGCUUUCACAUCACCUUGGUCGGCUCCAACUACAACCACUAACUCUUGUUGCAUUCUGCAGGAGAUGACGGUUUAAAAGAUCAAGUUUGUCGAUUCCAUAUAUUGCCCUUGACGAUCGGUCCACAAUAGUCCUGAGUUUUACGUCGAGCUGAUGAUCUCUGACUCGAUGCGGAAGAAUUAUGCGGCCCUACUGAAGAAAGUGUUGGUGAAGCUCAACAAGUUGCAGGGCGUACCCCUGGUGAGUUGUAUUGUAUACAACUUUUUAAUGCUUUCACUUUGGAUCCUACGUGGGUGACCUGGGGCACAAAUGUGAGCUAUUUUAUGGCCUAGCUUCACCUGGAUGAGCUCAUUCAAAGAGGAUAUAUAUAUAUAUAUAUACCACUUUAGCUUUAUCUCACUUUAGCUUUAUCUCAAAUACUUCGUUCGUUCGAAAGGUGUAAUGUGGGCCGUGCAGUGCUUGUGCCAGGUUGCAUGCCAGUCCAGUAGCACGACACAAUCGACUUGCAUCCACAUGUUGGCCGUCCGUGCCGAGCUGCAGGCCGGCGAGAUUUAGACCUGCAUGGCCAACGCAUGAUGCACGGGCCAGACCGUACGAUGCCAAUCGACUUGCAUCCACAUGUUGGCCGUCCGUGCCGAGCUGCAGGCCGGUGAGAUUUAGACCUGCAUGGCCAACGCAUGAUGCACGGGCCAGACCGUACGAUGCCAUGGGCCGGCUGGCCGCAGCCCCGCAUGGCCCACACAUGAUGUACAGGCAGAGACUUUAAAUUAAAGUAGUGAAGAUUUUUCUCUAUUACACUAAACACAUAUUAACGUGUGAAGACUCGAAUUCAGAACCUCCUAACUUCUUUUAGCAUAUCUAUAUUCGGCUCUUCAUCAUAUGUGACAUUAAUUCGAAAAAGUCUCCAUUAUAUAAGAUUGUUGAUCUUGUUUUUAUUGCGCAGAUGAGAGUUACUUAACAAAAUUGGUUACCUGGACACUUGCAUAGACCGGAUCCCUGGAAAGAAAGGCAUCUGCCUCAAACAUCUUCCUUCAUUUAUCAGAACAACAGAUCCUCGCGCCGUCUCACUAAGCAUGGAAAUUGAAUUAGCUAAGACUUGUUCAAGAGCUUCCGGUUUAAUGUUCGACACGUUCGAUAACCUCGAGAAUGAAAUCAUAAAACCUCUGAUUGCAUAAUAAGAUGAAGCCUAUGCACUUGAUCCUUUCGAAAGCUAUGAUUGCAUAGAGUGGCUAAACAAUCAAAAGAAUGUUUCUGUUAUUUAUGUGAGCUUUGGGAGCACCAUAUCAAUAACAUCCCAGGAUUUAACUGAAUUAGCUUGGCGACUCGCAGAGAGCAACUUUGCCUUCAUGAGGAUCAUUAGGCCUAGUUUAGUAGAAGGCGGUGUCGAAGCAUUUCUAAGGAGUUCAUCGAGGAAACUAAAGAAAAGUGUUUCUUCGCUAGUCGGUGCCGACAAGAGGAAGUGCUCUCUCAUCCUUCUAUUGGUGCUUUCGUAACUCGCAACGGUUGUAGUUCGAUGUUCAAGAGCAUCUGCAGCUACGUGCGGCGAUGGUUUGUCGGCCAAGAUACGCAGAUGAAUGCGCAAACUGCUUUUUGGCUCGCAAGAAAUGGAGAGCAGGGAUAGAGAUGGACCAGGAGGAAAAGAGAGAAAAUGAUAGAGAGGUGGUGAGUGUGGUAAUGGAAGUAAAAAAAAAAAAGAUGAAAGGGAAGGGGAUGAGGGAGAGUGCAAUAAGAUGGAAAGAGAUGGCACAAGAAGCUGCAAUGUGUGGAGGGUCUUCAUAUGACAAACAUGGAGAGGUUACUAGGGGACAUGAAUGAAUCCCCAAUCUCCUGAUGAAUUAAAGGAUAGUAUUAAGACAAAUAUGGUAGGCCUGUAAUCUAAAUAAGAUAUAUUUCCUAGCUAAUCAUGCGGUGUUUUAGAGUUGCUCUAUGUAGCAUGAAUGAAUCAUAACAAACAUUCAAAAGAUCGCGAAUGUGAAUCCACAUUUAAAAUUUUCAACAUUUCUUCGCAUGGUAUUCGAAAUGUCUCGCGACAGAUGAUUCAUUGAGAAGAUGCCUGACAAGAAUGUUAAUAAAAAAAAAAAAUGAAAAUAAUCAAAAAACAAAUAAUGAAGAUUGUUUAGUAAAUAUCCUAGGGCACAUGUCACAACUCAUGAUCAUCCAAUUCACUUUGCCCUAGUCAUGAAUCUUUUGUAGGAGGGGAAGAGAGAAAAAAAAUUAAAAAAAUUAAAAAAAAUCUCUGCUUAAUAUCACUUAUUUGAGCGAGAUUAAAUCUUCUCAUGGUACUUCCGAGUCGCCAAAUAUGUCGAUGAAUGAAGUGAGAGUUGAAAAAUAUGCAAACUGGCUUCUUCAAGCAUCUGUGCUCUCGGCAUUUGAUCCCGCCGCCGACGGCGGUUGUGAGGCAUGAGAAUCUGAGACAAUCAAGACAGUUGAAAAUUGUAACCAUGUUCAAAUAUAUAUGUUCCAGAAAUUAUAUCAUUUACAUGUUAGAUUUUAUUUAUCAGAUCUGAAGUUUUAGUUUUCCUGCAUCAUAACUUCCAGGGAGUGUUGGCAUGCCAUCUUGGGACAGCACAGUUUAUUGGACGUGAUAAAAAUUGUUAGUAUGUUCUCCAAAAAAAGUUGAAACUACUAAUUUAGGAAGUAUGAGUGUUAGAUAUUGAAUAUGACUGCAGAGUAAAUACAAGCAAAUACCAUUUUCUUUAAUCAGACAAAUCCUAUACUUCAAUAGAAAGGACUAGUUUUUAGUUUUGUGCCUUAAAUUUGGACGAGAAAAAAUAAAAGCAAAAAUAAAAACACUGCCAAUGCCACAUGCAUGGUUUAAGACAUCAUGUCCUGUAAGUACUAAAUGUUGGGAAUAAAUUAAAUGCCUUGCAUUAUAGGUGCAAAAGUUCUGCACAUCAAUGUGCAUAAAAUUUCUGCACACUAUAAUCUAGAAUCAUCUGACAAAAGGUGGGAUUGAUCUCCACCAUUGAAUUUCUUCUUCUUGGUGGAGAUUGAUCUCGUCUUUUAUAUGGAUGAUCAAAUAAGGGUGUGCAGUAAAUUUUUAUACACUAGGAUAGUUAAAAGUAUGAAUUGGCAUAUUUGCUUGUGAGUUAGACUGAUGUACAUGCAAGUAGCUAAUGAUCUAUUGAUGUUCAACUAAAUGUCAUAUGUUAAAUUUGAAAAUUUUAGACCAAUUUCUAAUUAUUAUAUUUAUCGUAUCAACUCAUCAAUAAUAAUAUUUUAGGUUACUGUACACAUGUAACUAAUCAAAGUAAUAUGCACAAAGAAAUACUGUAUGUACGUACCCUCAAACGUGAGGUAUAAAUUAUACAUCCAUCCAUCUAUCCAAAAAAUUUACACAUUUUUUUAUUUUUUAAUAUUAUAACAAAUUAAUGAGAUUAGUAUAAAAAAUGUUAGUCCUUUGAUAAACAGAACGUAAAAUUUAUACUUAUUUUUUGAAUAUACAGAAACUUUUAUAAAAGAUUACCUGUUAUGUUGAGGGGUUGUUGUCUCACGUGAGGAGGGUGUUGGAGUUGAAAGUUAGAAGGCAAGGAUGGCGGAGGAAACGGCCCCUCCAUCUGGGCCGUCGGAUACUGAAUGUACGGUGGAUGCGGCCUGUGCUGAGGUGAUUGAAAACUAGUCCUUGGAUUUGGCAUGGUGUAUCCCACACCCGUAUAAUGGUACGGUGGAGGGCCCACGGUGGAUGGUGAGGUGGCCCCAUACAUCUGGUAGUAUUGCGGAGUCAUCUGAGGAUUGUACACAGCCUGUUCGUAUUUAACAUUUACUUAUUUACAGUAUAGUAACGUUAUAAGAAAAUAUCUAGAUAUAGGAAAAGGAUUAAGGAUUCGAUGAUACAUAUGUACAGAGCUAGGCUGCGAUACUAUCGGUAGCCGAUAGUAUAGCAACGGGACUCCGUAUAUACAUAUGUGCGUUAAUAUAUGGGAGAGCCUGAUCCGAUUAACAUCAGCUAAAAUUUUCGUAGUAUCAAAAUCGGAGCUCAUAAUGAAUCAGAAAUGUCAAAGAAUAAAAUUAGAGCUUCACAUACUCGUUUCUGUAGCACAAUUGGUUUUGAAUUUCAAAUCCAUCAACCAACUAUUCUGAAUAGCGAUAAUAAUAAUUACUAUUUCAUACGUAAGUAACGCUUGUUCUCUUUUUCUUUUCUUUUUUUUGAAAAAGCGCAUAUAAAUAUAUGUAACUUUUGUGAUUAAAGUUCACCAACCAAGUGGUGGUUUCAAAAUGUGCAUUAAUAUCUUGAAUUGAUUGUGAUAUGAAUAAAUUUUGGACUUAGUCACUAAACACCAAAUAUCCAAAAUAGAAAAAAAAAACGAAGAAGAAGCUAAUUUUAGUUGAGAUAAGAGGAAGCACUUUACUUGUUGGUAUCCAUAAUCAGAUGGGUAGGUCAUAUACCUGCAAAAGUAGACACAGUAAUAAGUGGAUAAGCUAACAAUGGAGGCACUAUAAACGUAGUGGACUUUUGGGCCCACCAACUAUUUAAAGCCCAAUUAAUGAGCUCAUUGGAGUACAUUGUCAGAGAACAGGACCAUCCAUAAUUUUCAAAUUGAGAUAAACCAAUAAAUAUUUUUGCAGUUCCACAUGGACCUUGAUGUGCCUAUAUACACAUAUAUAACCCUCCAUCAGAUUGGCCCAAGAAAAUCAAACAGCAAUAUAUUUAUCAACAGUCAUAAUAAAGGAGCAAUGGCCUAUAUAUCCCUGAAAAAUAGAGAAACUGUGAAUUAUCUCCUAUAAAAACAUGAUAAAACCCUUUAAAAACAAUUUUUAGCAAUUCGAAUUGCGAGAUAUUGGCAGUCGAUUGACGUGAACAAACAGUCAUUUGAGAGAAUGUAUUUAAACUUUAGAAAAUAAUUUUUUUAAAAAAAUUGCGGAGAUAAUAUAGGCGUUUUCCGUGCGGCCGCAUGCAAGGCUCAUUGGAGGCAUUAAUUCUGAAGCAAACAGAGGCCACUUCAGAAUGAUUCUAUGGUGGAGCAGUGGAGAGGGUCCACUGAGUUAAAUGCCUGUGGCCAUUGCUCCCCCACCUAUCUAUUAAAUAGGCCUUCUCUUUGGCCCAUCUGUGCCUUGGGUGGGACCGAUUCUAUGUUAGUAAAGACUACUUAGGCCCAGUUUGGGAAAGCGUUCUUCGAAUACACUCGAUUACACUCGCUCCAUAUUUUAGAGGGCACCUGCAAACACUGGUAGCGCUUGCGAGCUUUCCUCCUCUGAUACUCUAAUAAGUAGCGGUUGGAACUACUGUCACCGGAAAGCGUUUUACCGGAUACUUCUUUAGUAGUUACUCUAACGCUCUAAAAUGAAUUUAGAUUUUCUUUUUGUGACCUACGAGCCGGCAAAGCGAGCUUGUUGAAGCAACUCAUUCCCAAUUUACGUGCUCGUCAAACAAAGGACCAAUCUAAUGUAUCCGUGCGUGAGAUUCAUAAGCCACGCACAUAAUUAUUUCACUAUAGCAACUACAUGCAACAUGCAUGUUAAAGAUUGUGGGUAUUUGUAAGAUAUAUAUAGUUUUUGUAUCGGACGCAUACCCGAAUUGAGUAGGGUAGAUUACUGGUGGGUGAGGAGGAGGCAUUUGGGCUGGCACUCUGCUAUAUGGUGGGCCCAUGGUCUGUGGUGGGCCCUGGUAUGGGGGCCCAGCUGGAGAUCUCCCUGUGCACAACAAAAUCUCCUUUAGGUCAGAAAUUGGAUUAGAGGGGGCAAAAAGAAAAUAAAAAAUGGCACAGGAUGUGCAAUAUUUAAGUAAACUAAUGGAUCUAGAAUUAGGUUAAUAAUUCGAACAACUACACAUGAGUUAGUACACCUACAGUUUGCUAAUCGCUUCGAUUGUAUCUUCUCUCUUGUUAAACUACCUCGGUGUUCCUUAAGAAAUGUAUGAAAAUAUUACAACAUAAGCAUCCAGACUUAUAUCUUGUUGCUUAUCGGAAAGACGAAUACGCUUGUUUUAAUGGCGCAAGUGGUCGCAGCAUCAUUAUGAUGUUGGUCUUCAUAUUCUUUUAUCUCUACUAAGUCUGCAUAGAAUAUUACCCUAUGAUUUUAAUAUGAGAAAAAAAGAGAAAAGAAUCACUAAUGGAUGGGUGGUCUACAAGCUCAAAAGUAGUCUUCUUGGUGUUCUUGGUCUUCCAUUUGACUUAGCCAGCGUAGCUAAACCAAACUAAGUGGUUUACUUGGAUCAUACCGGAUAAGAUCCAUAUUCUAAAUUAUUGUCUACAAGGAACCGUUUAAAAAUAAUACCUAUCAAAAUAACAUUAUAGCUCAUUGACAACCCCAGGCUUGGUAGCUAGGCUAGCUGACCUAGAACAGCGUCAUUAAAUAUGUGUUCAAACGUAUAACUGUGAAGCAUAAUGUGAUUCCAACAUAAUGCACUCCCUUUGACCAAUAAUUGAAACCUUUAAUUAAUAACAACAUCAAUUUUCCACACAAUUAAACCUUAUGAGCUAACGUUUGGAUAAAGAGGAUAUUGAGGCAUCGUAGAUAUGAAUAAGAUGGUAUCAGAAUCCAAGCCUAAACUAGCAAAUCUGCAGUUGAAUUUUAUUCUAUUCAAAUCUUAAAGCACCGUAGAAUAAAAUUGAGGGUAUAUAUAUAUAUAUAUAUAUAUAUAUAUAUAUAUAGUCCGGCUAUAGUGCUUAUAAAAGCACGAAGUACGUACUUGGUGCUUGUAAAUUUUUUUACAGUUAGCUCUAUACCUUUGAUCAUUUCCAAUCGUUAGAUUAUACUAUUCAACCAACCACCCACUCAAUUCUAGGAGGCCUACAUCAUUCUAACCGCAUAUUCUUUAAUCCAAUGAUAAAAAAUCUAUAAGCACCAAUAACUUUGUACUUUUAAAAGCAUCGAAGCUCAAUUAUAUAUAUAUAUAUAUAUAUAUAUAGCUAGGCUCCUAUACUUUCGAAAGUACGGAGGUCUCCGUGCUUGUAAGUUAUUUUCAAUGAUGGGACGUCCGAUUCGGCGAUCGGUUCCGUUAAACAAGAUCUACGCUAUUGGAACUAUCUAGAAACCAAAUUUCAUAAUUUUUGACUUCGUUUGCCUAGUGAACGAGUAGCCUCAAAAUGAACGGCUAAAAAUAAAAAUCUCAUAAAAAAUAGUGAUAAAUGACUCAAAUUUCAAAUCGGAAAUAUUGUUCUUGCUCUUAAUGUUAAGUAGAAUUUUCUAUUAAAGUUUCAAGUAAUUUGGAUACUUCUACACCAUUGAACUUAAAAACGUGCCACAUCGGCCGUUAAAAUAGUCAUUUUUGAGACCCUGUGAUUGCUUGAUAAAUGAUGUCAAAAAAUUAUAAAAUUUGGUUUCAUGAUAGUUCCAAUAGUAUAGGUUAUGCCUAACGGAGCCGAUCGUCGAAUUGGAUGUCCUAUCAUCGAAAACAACUUACAAAUACGGAGGUCUCCGUAAUUUUGAAAGUACAGGAGACGUACUAUAUAUAUAUAUAUAUAUAUAUAUAUAUAUAUAAUUGGACUGGACUACUAUUAGUAGCAAAAUCCCAUUGUUGCUACCAGUUUUUUAGCCUUUGGAUCAACUCUUUUCAUCAUUUCUAAUCAUUGGAUUAAAUACUAUAANAUAUAUAUAUAUAUAUAUAUAUAUAUAUAUAUAGUUUUUUAGAAAAAAAGAAAAAAGAAUUUACGCGUAAAUUUAGGCCAGGCUGGCUGAAGCCUUGGUGCCACACACACCAUGUACACGAAACUUUUCAGCAACUGUUACAACAUUGGGCCCCACCCACGUCUUUUAAGUCUUAACCCCUCGCAAAUAUCAAUGGCCACCGAAAUUGAGAACGCGCACAUAGUAAUGUACACCCUAAACACCAACCAAUCAAAUUUUCCUAAUCUUUUGUUCUAAGAAAUUGUACUAACGGUUUUGUUGUUUAACAAUAUUAAUCAUGAUCACGUACCUCUCUAGGUGCAGAUCCUGCAAAUCAUACUGUUGCUAUCAUGUCAAAUGAAAAUAAUAAUAAACAAAAAAAUAGUAUGUACUAUUAUAUAUUAUAUACUAUUUACUAUUAAUUAUCAUUAUCAUCAUCAUUAUUACUAAUCAUAUUAUUAUUAAUUUCUCCUUCCAUGUGGUUCCAGCUCACCUCGAGGUGGGGAGGGGCGAGGCCGGCCCUGGGAGGCAAUGUUGCAGUUGGCUCGCCGGCCGUCGAUCACCGGGUUCGGCUCCGACACCGACCGCCUCGCCGAUUCCGCGUCCCGGAACGUUACCUGCCCCAUUUAAUCAAUUCCCAUUUUUUCAGCCUUAAUUUUUCCUAUUAGCUUUUUUUUCUCAAAAAAAAAAAUACUACUAAUGGAUAAUCAACCGUAUUCAUUACACAUAAAUCAAUCUAAUAGUGAACAUUCUAUAUGUGUAGUAGAGUUUUAGUAUGUAUAUAAUUAAGAUGUAUAUGUUUUAUUUAUAAUGAUGAUAGAUAGGAACAAUUAGAAAGAGACUUAGAGAGAUUUUUUUGUAAAAAAAAAAAAAAAAACCAACCGCCUAAAUAACCCACACACGUACACAAAUAAAGAGCACUGUGAUUUUUUUUAAAAAAAAAAAAUUAGUAUGUUACCGUUUCAUUCAUUUAGAAAAUAAAUUUAGCGGCAAGAGAGAGCUUACAAAGCCAUAGCCUUUGGAGCGGCCGGUGUUCUUGUCGCGGAUGAUGACGGCCUCGAGGAUGUCGCCGAAGGGCUCGAAGUAGCGGCGCAGCUCCUCGUCGGGGGUCUCCCACGCCAACCCGCCGACGAAGACUUUCGUGUGGGUCGUGUCGCCGAACCUCGACCGGAACUGCCAGCCGCCGGAAGCAGAAGGGGUGGAAGAGGAAGAAGAAGCAGCCAUCUAUGCAAAUUGAUAACACCACCUCAGCCUCUUAAUUUUCCAGUAACUAGCUAGCUAGCUAGCUAGAUGUAGUAAGGGGGGGGGAGAGGUGGGCUUGGUUUUCUACUAAUGAAAAGAAGACAUGGGUUUCUUUGUAUUUCACCCAAUCAUAGCCGGAGAAGUAGUUAAUUAGUUGGGUCUAUCUCUAACGCAAGAAGAAACCGAUGUUAAUUUCUCGGAUGAAUAUGGGUUGCAGUUUUCUCUUGAUCCUCUUCUUUGGUGGUCUCAGCUCCUUCCAUGUUCCUAUAGCUUCUUAAUUUUGAAGAGAGAGAGAGAGGGAGAGAGAGAGAGAAGAGAAAUAGUAGUAGAGGGAUCGAGCUGGGAAAUUAAGGGAGGGAGGGAGGGAGGAAUCUAGAGAGGGUGGUGCGAAGGGGUAGUUCCGACAGGUGAAAAGGGGUUUCUCGCAGCUGCAUGAGGGGUUUCGAUAUCGAAUGACAGCUGCAUGAUGAUCACCUCCCUUCUUGCUAUUGCUCUCUCUCUCUCUCUCUCUCUCUCUCAGUUUUCCCCCUUGGUGUCCUCUGUCCUCUCUGUCUCCUUCUCAAAGUCCUUAAAAUACAUAUACAUAUCAAGUAAAAGGUCCAUUCCCUCUCACCAUCCCUCUCUAUGUGGUUGUUACUAUUAAUUAUGAAAUUUAGAAUGAGUCAGUAUUAUACACAUUAAAAUUUAUUUAUUUAACUUUUAUUUCAACUCAAGACCUAACUAUAGGAUGAGAGUGUAUUUAAUGCGAGUCCAAUUAUAAGCAAAAAUUUUCUACUCAGCUGCUAGUGUACCAAUGAAUUUUUUUUCUCUCUCACUUCUCUUACUUGAUUAUAAUAAAAUCUUCGUUAAAUCAGAGGCUAAAAUUACCGCCCACUUUUUUUACAGAUUCUUUAUAUCACACUACCUGAUCAGUAGCAAACUCAUCAAUUGCAUCACAGAAAAUCUGAUUUGCUGAUAGCGAAACUCAAUUUUGAAAAGCCAAACCACUGUCGAAUUACCAGUAUAAAAAUUUACUGGACGACAUUACGUACCGGGAUCUUCAAGGGUACCAAGGUAAUAUUCACUCUUAGCCUAAAAUCUGCUCACAUCCCAUGUUUUGUAGCUAAUGAAGAGGGUGGUGUGAUGGAAAAAGAUGGAUAUGUCUAAUUCUUUUAGUCCUCAUCCCAUCUGUCCAACAACUGAGCCAGAUAGACUGAGUUUAGGAUAUAAGUGAUAGAGUGCGACCAAACCACACCUCGUGAUUCAACCAAGAUGGGCCCAAUUCAGGGUGUCAUGAUCCUUUAAUGGAGCUUAUUGGUCGUUGUCGUUAAUUAUAACCGAACCCCCCUAAACCUCUUUGUUAGCUCUGAUUAUUUUUCUCCUUUAUCAAACAACUCUCCUUAAUUAAGCAUGCUAAUUCCGUACGUUAAGCAGUGGAUUAAUGCAUGGAACAGGACCACUUCGCAGUUAUAGCUUUAAUUUCGUGCUCUCACCCUGUACCCACACGCUAGCAUCUUUCCUAGGAAAAUAAAGAUGUUUUAAGAUAUAUAAUUAGGCGGUGCGGUGCAUUGAUAGUUGGUCAUCACACUACAACACAAUUAGAUUAUAGCGAUAUAUUUUUAAAAUAUUUUUUUGUAAGUGUCCCAUUUAUACCAAAAUUUUUAAAAAAUUCUAUUAAGGGGUAUAAAUAUAAAACUCAAUUCAACCAAAUAUAAAAUAUUACUCUACUUAUCCCAUUCUACCCAGCCUAUUUGUCCCGAUCACAAAUAGAAAAGAAAGAAAAAAAGAAGAAAAAUAGAUCACCAUCUUUCAUUCUCUACUCACUCAAUACAUUGAAAUCCUAGGCGAAGAGCCCCUCGCUCUCCUCCUCCUUCGCGCCACAGCCGACGAGAUAGAGUUCCGACGGUUGUUAAAUGCUUAAAUAAAUAUUGGUAAAUUAGCAGUAUUCUCUUUAAGUUAUACCAACACUCUUAAAGUGUUACUAUAUACCUAGUGAUUCUAUAUAUAACAAUAUUUUUAAAAAAUAUCGGUAAUUUAGCCAGUAGCACAUUUUUUGACUUAUACCAACAUUUAAAAGUGUCGCUAUAUAUCAUUUUUGUUGUAGUGUCGGAACAUAAUUUGCAAAGCUUCAGUUAGAUCCUUAAUUGUUUCAUUUUUUUUUAACAAUAAGAUUGGGCCUUUGUGUUCUUUUGAUGAAAAUGAUUUGAAUGCAUGCCAGGUAGAGACAUUCAAUUAAGAUCAUAAAAUAAGUACAGUACAGAAAAAGAAAAUAGAAGAAACUAGAAAACCAGGAAAUUAAGCCAAUGAUUGAGCCUAAAUUAGCCCAUCUGUUCUUUUAAUUAUAAUUGAGACCGUCAAUUUUCUCACGGAUAUAUCACCGUAUAUAGUUCAUGAAGGAAUUUAAAUACGAAGAUUCAGAUAAAUAGGUAUAUUUCUAAGGUUGCAAAAAAAUAGUGUUUAGGGGACCUAAAUGUAACAUUUGAAGACCUAUCCUGGGAGAUGUGGCAAAGAAGAAACAAAACAAUAUUACUUUAAAUAUAAAAUUUUUGCACAAAAUGCAAUGAUGUAUAUAAAGGACUAAUUUGAAAGAAAAGGAGCUAUAAAAACACACUAAUUAAUGGGCUGAUUAGGUGUUACCCUGAUGCUUGAUUAUAUCCAUGCAAAUGGAAGUUUAAUACUCAUGAUGCUAAUUAUUCAUUCUACAAAGCUUCUCGUGAUAUAUAUAUAUAUAUAUAUAUAUAUAUAAAAUAUUUUUGUGGUUACAAUAUCUCUUUACGUUCACAACUCACGCACAAGUAGCUUUUAAUUAACUUUAUUAAUAAUCACACGACCCGAGGAAAUAGAGAUGUGGGCAACUUAUAAUGGGAAAAGCAAAUCAGUUUCUGAGUUAGUUUACUUAAAAUUAAUCACGGAUAUAUAGAUUAUUAUGUGCCCAAAUAACGAAUGGCGUAUAGUACAAUAAUAAAGAAUUCUUUCUACCUCAUUUUUCACUUUAGAAAAAGGCCAAGCAUGUCCUUGUACAAACUGUACCAAACUGUAUACAUUCAUAUGCUUUGUCACGCCACCUACUUAGCAACCUUUUAAUAUGAUCCUUUUUCUGCUUUGUAGCUACUGUUUAUGGUGGAGCACACACCAACUUGAGAUUUGGACUUUUUAUCGAUCAUGAGAGAGAGAGAGAGAGAGAGAGAGAAAUCAAGAUGAGCAAGUCUUUGCUGUAACAGAUGUUUUAUAUAGAAAAUAAUUUUUAUUUUAUACAUUUUCAUCCUUUUUAAACUUACGAGGAUAAAUUUUUUAUGCUAUUAUAUAUCAUUUCCGGCAUAAGUGGUAAAAGUUUUGAUAGUUAGUAUCUGAGCUGAGAUUUAAGUUCAAAACUUAAUUAUUUCAUAUUAAAAAAAAAACCAAAAUAACUGGUAAUAUAAAUUAAUUAAUUUUCAAAUUUGAAAUCUGAUAUAUCAACCAUCAAGCAUUUUAUCAUUUAUAUUAAGAACGGUCAGUGUUGUUACAGAGAAGAGUUAAGAAAACUCUGCCGAAAGAAUUUGACAGGUUGUUUGAAAUUAAAUUUUGAUUUGAAUGAAAAGUGUAUAUAUGUGUUGCUCACCGGCACCUUAAAAAAAAAAGAUAAACUUCAAAUAUCACUCCUAUAGUUUCACGCUUUCUCACUUUAAUGCUAUAUAAUUUAAAGUGUAUCAAUUUAGUACUCUAUGAUUUUAUUUUGUUAUUUUUGUCCAUCAAUUCGUUAACUUUUCGUUAAAUAAUAUACAAAAAUACUUAAGAUAUUUCACAUAUAAUUUAUUGAAUAUUUAUUUUAGUAUUCUUUAGUUAUAACUUUAUUACUGAUUUAGCAAAAAAAAUUAAUGAAGGAGAUAACAAAAAAAAAUAAAAGUAUAUGGUAUGAAAAUGAUACACUUUAAACUAUAAAAUAUUAAAAUAAAAAAAUAUGAAACCUCAGAUAUUUGUAUUUAAAGUUUUUCUAAAAAAAUAAUUUUGCGAGAGAGAGAGAGAGAGAGAGAGAGAGAGGGGGGGAGCAGUUGUCCACGUGGUUUGCUGGCCAUCACUAAUGUGGGUGAGUUCUAAUUUGGGAGUUUAAACGGUUGGCUUUACACGUAGGAUGCCUUUGACCAUUGACCAAACCGACCAAUGGGGAGGUGAGAGCUAACAACAAUAGAUUCCAACUUUUCGAGCCCUGUUUGACCGGAUCUUAUGCCCAUUGAAUGCGUAUCUUUUUCUCUUCAGUGAAUACUAUCUCUCCAUUUAUUCCUUAACAUUUAUUUUCUAUUUUUUAAAAAAUGACUCUAAUUUUUCGUAUCAAACAAAUGGCCAAGUUUAUUGUGAUAUAGCUGCCUUGUGAAUUGUGAUGUCACUUUAAACCAGUUAAAGAGGUGAAAAUUUUUCUUUUUUAAGUUAAAUAAUGAGUGGUUCUUUUAUAUAUAUAUAUAUGCCACUUUAAACCAAUUAAAGAGGUGAAAAUUUUUCUUUUUUAAGUUAAAUAAUGAGUGGUUCUUAUAUAUAUAUAUAUAUAUAUAGAGAGAGAGAGAGAGAGAGAGAGAGAGGGGGGAGGGGAUUCCUACUCAGUGCAAACAAUUAUUUUUUAAUUUCUCAAAAUUGUAACGUUUUAUACCUAAUUUCUAUGACGUUGAAGAAAAUAACGUCAACGUCACAGCAUCCUCCAAAAAAUCUCUAUCAACAAAUGGUUAAUUAGUUUCAAUAUUUAAUAUUUAAUUGUGGCAGGUACGCCAAACAUGUUUAGGAUAUUGAAGUUUGAUUCAAAAUGAGAUCUAAUAAAUUCUAUUCAAAUCAUACUUCAUUAAAUAAACUUUAAAACAUACAUCGCUGAUAACAAUUUUCUUAUAAUUUAUGAUAGAAGCAUCUAUUUUCAAUCUGCUUCCGAACGUUUCUCGACGGAAGGUCCCCAUUUUUUCUCACAGUUUUAGGAUACUUCGCAUGAUAAGCUACUUGUGUUGGGUUAGUGGCCAUAAUUGGUCGAGUCACAUGAUUGGGUCGAGCUUAAUUUGCGGUCUGAGCUCGAUCUAUCUGUGUGUGCGUGUGCGUGUGUGUGUGUGUGUGUGUUGCGUGCUGUGCGGAUAUGACCUGGCCGGCACAAGCUGUCAACCUGCGGUUCUCACGUGCGCAUGUGCACGCGCGACAACACCACCCCCUCCCGCGCGCAUGAUCGCCUAAACGCGCCCGAACACCGCCACACCGAACAAGCAGAUCCCGAACAAGUGGGGCCCGCUGUACUAGGCGGACACGUGGAUGACACUUGGUGGUGCUCGGGCGGUGUGCGGUCGUCGUACUUGGAUGCGGGUCCUACGGUUGGGUUUGGUUUUGGUCGGCGGUGGAUUGGGUGGGCCGCGGGGUGCUGGUGGUAAACCUUUUCUUUUUUUUUUUUCUUUUUUUUUUUGUUCCUUUUUUCACGAGUCACUCCUUUUCGACAGUUAAUAUUAUAUUUCAAGUAGCCUAAUAGCAUGGAAAAGUAUAUGUGCGCAGAAGCACGGAGGAGAACUGACUGAAAGUAUAAAGUUUAGCUACGGUUAAUAACGCGAUGCUCACGACACUACAACAAAAAUAAUAUAUAACGACACUUUUAAAUAUUGAUAUAUGUCAAAAAAAAAUAUUGUUUGCUAAAUUACUGAUACUUUUUAAAAAUAUUGUUAUAUGUGAGGGUCGCUAUAUGUGGAUCGCCUCAAUAUUUGGCACCCACUACUCCAUCUAUUUGUGGCAGAGGGACGUGUGGCGGUCGUAGUCCUCUGCAGUUCCUGAAAAAUCCUCGCAGCUGAACUCCAACAGCCGAACCCUAUCUCGUUGACUGCGACGGUGGAAGAGGAGAAGGGGACAUGAUAAUUAUUUUUUUUUUCUUUUCUAUUUGUAAUCGGAUCAAGUGGGUUGAAUCAGGUUGGUUGAGUAGAUAAACUUUUUAUUUUUGAUUGAACUGAGCUUUAUAUUUACACCUUAGUAGAUUAUUUAAAAAAAAUUAGUAUAAAUAGAAGACUUAUACAAAAGUGUCCGAAAAAUAUGUCCUUAUAAUCUAAUUCUGUUGUAGUGCGAAGCGCUAGUAGUGAAUUUUUUUGAAACCAUAUUUGCAGGGGAAAAAGCUUACUAGAAUGAUAUAUUAUAAGAAGAGAAAACUAUUAAACAAAGAGAGCUAUAGCAAAUGAGCCUCACAAUGGUGGAUAAAUGUUAAUACCAAUACUAGAGCAAGCUUAAAAAAUAAAGUGACCUAUGGCUUCCAAGAUGAUAAUUUACAUAAUUUUUGAAUAGAUAGAUAGAGUAGAGAGGUUUCUCUACGAUCAUUCUUUCUAAUAAGUUGAAUUGAAUUGAAGGAAAAUAAUAUAACCAGAUUUUUCGAGAGUAGAGAUGUUUCAAAUAAAGUGACCUAUGGCUUCCAAGAUGAUAUCUCAUUAGAUAGUAUAUUUUAGUUUUGUUUUUAAACAAAAACCAAAAACAGGAGUUUGCGGAGUAUGUCAAAAUUCUCUAGAAAAAAGGAGAUGAUACUGAAGAGAGGAUCUUAGAAUAUCAUGAAGCAGCUGAAUACGAUAGCAGCAUGCUAGUGGUAAUUUGGCUGAAAAGAAAUAAUAUGAUAUUUAGAUCACUUUUGCGGUCCUAUUCUUGCAGUUAGCAAAAUAAAAUGAUUGGUGACUUUAUAGAAGGAGCUUAGUUCUUAUCAGGUAUACGCUACUACUUAGUUAUCUCCUUUCAAAUUUCAAUUUUAAGUUGGCCUUUUCUAUUUUUUAAUUUAAAUUUUGAUGUUCCAUCUACCUAUUUCAGAGGUUUUAUUGUUUCACCUCUGUAACUAAGUUUAUUUGCUCUAUGAAGAAAAUGGGUACAUGCUAUGCUUAUACAUAUACUAAGUUUAUUUGCUCUAUGAAGAAAAUGGGUACGUGCUAUGCUUAUACAUAUCAUAUAUAUAUAUAUAUAUAUAUAUAUACACACACACACACAAUUUAACGCACUUAAGGUAUAUUCAAAACAUCAUUUAGCUUCGUUGAUGCAAGGAUAGGUUAAACGAAGAUGUAAUUGAGAUUUGCUAGUUGAAAUUAUUGUGAGUUGGUAAUACCAAAUUGAAUCAAAUGAGGCCAAUAAGAGGUCGUGAUCUCGAACAAUCAUUUUCUGUAUGGAAAUUUAAUUCUCAUGGUAACAAUGUCAUCCAGUGCAGUUGUAUAAGGUCAGGGGCUCAAAUCCCUGCUUACACAUUCACGAAAAUGGAGGUCCAUACCUCUGUUCAUUCAGGUACGAGCCUACGAGCAAGUUAAAUAAUAAUAAUCAUAAUAAUAAUAAUCAUGGUUCAAAACGAAGACAACUUUGGAAAGAAGAAAUUGGUCACAUGGAUUGGAUGCUUAUGUUUGGGUUAAAUAUUUGAGCCUAAUGGGCUUGGAUUUGGCCCGUAUAGCCAUCAACUCAGCCCACCUCACAUUAGGUCCAUUAAAAGUUAGGCCAUAAAAAGAAACAACUAGGCCCAAAAUGAGUUGGGCUUCUACAGUGAAUAACGAAUUGGGCCCAGUAAUAAACUUGGGCCUCUAAGAUUGCUCUAAAAGGGUCGGGCCAUUGAUUCACGUAGUUACUUAGAAGUAUGGGACUCAAAAAUCAAAAUCCAAAUUUGUGCGUUUAAAAUCAGAAUGUUAUUAUCUUCUACGAAAUUUAUAUAUAUUAUAUCACAAUAAAUUAUUCUAAAUUAAAAUUUUAAUAUAAUGGAAUUUGAACUCAGUUAUUUAAAUCCCCGAACUAAGUACAAACUUAUAUAUUUUAUGGAAUGACAAAUGAAAUAGUCUCGCAUUGAGAUCGACCCCACUAUUUUUUUUUUUUUUUAGUUAAUGCUUGGAAUGAAUAUCUUUGAGAUUGAACCCUAGUCACAACUCACAACAUGUAUAUCUUGGGGUCCCACCACCACACUAGUGUGUAGAGUGGGAUAGGUAAUUGAUAUAUCAAUAUUUAUCAAAGUUCAAAUAGCACUAACUUUAUGGAGUGGAAUUAUGUGACCAUAAAUCCUUGUCAAAUGCUCCUUUUCUUAAUUUUGUAACUCCGUCAAUUUGUGUUGGUAGUCACAAAGCACUAUCAAUUUCUUAUUUUCACUAUUUUCAGUGCUUCAGGAAUGAUUUGGCGCAUUUGAAUUAUUAAUUAUAAAUUCUAGAAAGAGACCCCACCAUUUUAGGUCUGAUUCCAAUGUCUCCUAAACUUUUUCAUAAUCAAGAUGGAUAAUAGUUUCGAUAAAAAUCUUAAUCAUAAGUUAGAAUAAAAUUACUUUAUCUUAUCUACUAAAUAAUAAUAAUUAUUAUUAUUAUUUGUAUUGUUUGGAGUAUUAUGUGAAUUUACCAAAUAAAGUUUGGUCGAACUCCAGCAUAAGUGGACGGUGGAGAAUUGCCCAAAUUUGGUAACGAGGGAGUGUCGAAGGUCAACUCUUUGUCAAAAUUCAACACUUACUCCUCCUCCUAUUAUUAUUAUUAUUAUUAUUAUUAUUUAUUUAUUAUUUAUAAGACCCCUAAUAAGGUGUCAACGUACGGAUCGUCGCCCAAUUUAAAAAGUUUGCUUUUUUAUGGAUUUUACUUUGUUUUACCUAUUUUUAUGAGAGUCUAAGCGAAAAAAAAAAAAUCUAAUAUGAAUAAUAAUGAUAAUAUUAAAAAUUGACCCGUCAAUUAAAUUUAUUAAUUUUUUUCUUUAAUUUGGUUUUACUAUCUCAAUCAAUUUUUUCCGCUUCACACACAAACGGAGCGACCGUUGUGAAUUUUAUUACAAAUCAAAUUAUACUAUACAGUAUAAUUGAAUUAUUAUAUUAUGCCGAAUCUUAUGGACAAUAAUUACCGGCCUUUAGAAUUUUAAAAUAAUAAAACGAAAUUAUAUAAAAUGAGAAAUCACGUCGGUUUCAAAUUUUAAACCUUUUCUUGUGAUACCAUGUUAUAACUAUUUAUUAUUUCUAAAUAUUUAAAUAAAUUUAAAAAUUAUUUUAAUAUUUUAUAUUCAUCAUUUACAUGCCAACCACAAUGGUUCAAAAUGACUGCAACAAUACAUGCUAAUCGUACGUACCAAUAUCAUACACACACAGUACUACAUAAUAAAUAUAAAUAAUAAUACAUUAAGAAUGUUGUUGUACGUACACCUAAAUACUUUUACCAUUAUUUUUAUUUUUUUUAUUACUAUUAUUGCAAUGCGAGUUCGAAGGGAUUACAAAGGAAAAAUCUCGUGACAAAAACCUCAUUAACAUUAUUAUGUGUACUUCACUUAGCCCCAUUCUUUUAUGAUGUAGUUAUUGAGGUAUAUGGGGGGUCGUUCCAUGCAUAUUAAUUGUUUCCUGCCUCAGCAUGUCCUGUUCCUACAACUCUUUUAUGCACUGCACACUCUCCUCGUCUUCUUCUCUUACGAAGUCACCAAUUGAGCUAAAACCCCGAUCUCUGUACAAUUCCUUGAGCAAUUCUCCAAUCUGAGUUUUGAUUCUAAUCCAAUUGGAUCGGCCGAGAGAAGGCGAAUGUCGCGGCCGUUGCACCGCGGGCGAUCCGGCGGCGCCCACCACCUGUUUGAUCAAAUGUGCCAACCAAAUAACUUGUCUAUUAAUGGAUAUGGACAUGAGCUCCCGGGCUUCGGCGGGAUCAUGAGAAGUAGGAGGAAAUUGAUGCUCUUCGUUUUCAAACUCGGUGUAGUUUUAGUCACUGUUUUUACCCUUCUCGGCUCCUUUUAUUGGGCCGUCUCCCUCUCCGUCUCGUCGUGGAACAGCGUUUACCGCAAUUACCGUCGGCUGCAGGAACAGCUUGUCGCGGACCUUUCCGAUAUCGGGGAGCUCGCGCUCGGCGUUUCGAAGUCUAAGGAACUUGAAUUCUGCCCUGAAGAGUACGAAAACUACGUCCCGUGUUAUUACAAUGUAUCGGAGAGUUUGGAUUCAGUGGAUCUUGAAGCGAAUAUAGAGUACGAGCGUUGGUGUUCUCGCGGCCCUUCCUUUGGUUGCUUGAUUCUCUCGCCGACGAAUUAUAGAAUCCCGCUUAGGUGGCCGAACGGGCGAGACGUCAUUUGGAAGGAGAAUGUGAGGAUCACUGGGCAGGAGUUCUCCUCUGGGAGCUUAACUAAAAGGUAGAUAUAGAUGUUGAUGUGAGGUUUGAUUUUGACUUUGAUUCGUGUGCACGACGUGGUUUAUUUACCUGUGUGUUCGUAGGAUGAUGGUAGAGGAAGAGCAUAUCUCUUUCCGCUCCGACUCCCUGAUGGUUGAUGGAGUCGAAGACUAUUCGCAUCAGAUAGCUGAGAUGAUUGGACUGAGGAACGAGUCUAAUUUCAAUGAGGCAGGGGUGAGUGAGAAAACUUUUGUGACUUUGUCAUGAAUAAAUUCAUGAGAUUUUAGUAGGAUGCCUUAAGGAAAGGAAGUUCUAUUCUGAUAGUUUGUUCUGCUGUUAAAUUUCUAUAUCAGAAUGAUCCGAGUGUAUGCGAGAAUGAUGAAUGUUUAGUUUAUCGCAUGGGAAUUAUGGGCUUUAUUUUUAGAAUCAUGCUAUUAGCUUGACAUUUAUUAUUCACAUCUUUUCCACUAAACUGCAGCAGGAAAUAGAUUUCUAGUCAUUCCUAAAAAGUAAGUACAGAUAUAAUUUUGUCAAUAUUAGGCUGAGAACUAUUUUGUUUUAGUAUGUCUUUGGAGACAAAUUUGUCUCUGCUGGCUGGAAAAUCAUUCAAAAAACGCUCGAGACAUUCGAUGUUAUUUCCUCGAAGCCCGUUUUGAUUCGUGAGGGGAAAGGGCUCCACCUGGUGUUGAUUAUGGUUUUCAUCAUUAGUUUGUAGUGUUUCAUAACUAGUUUGAUAUAACUUAUGCAUCAGUCCUUGGAAUUUUACAGAUCAGAACUAUUUUAGAUAUAGGGUGUGGAUUUGGUAGCUUGGGAGCACACCUUUUCUCAAAGCAGCUGCUAACUAUGUGCAUUGCGAAUUAUGAGGCUUCGGGCAGUCAAGUUCAGCUCACAAUGGAGAGAGGCAUUCCCGCUUUGAUAGGUUCAUUUGCUUCGAAACAGCUCCCAUAUCCAUAUCUUUCCUUUGAUAUGGUGCACUGCGCUGGAUGUGGGAUUGAGUGGGAGAAAAAUGGUAUGCCUCAAUCAACCAAAUUUGCUUAAAAUCAGGCCUGCAAUGAAUGAUUCAUGCCUCUUCAUUUGUUCUCUUGUCCUCUAUCUUGAACUUUUUGUUUUGCAAUGAUUAGUCAAUCUCUCUUAUUCUAGGUUAACUAAUAACAACAUUGUUUUAUGCACAUAAUUGGAUUUGUGGAAGUUCACUAGUAAUUGUUUAGAUUCGGUAGAUGGGAAACCAAAAAGCCAUUAUCAAUUGGAAAAGUGGAUUAUUGAAGGAAUGUGCCUUCCCUGUAUAAUAGAAUAUUUUCAAUUUUUAUCAAUGAAUUCUUUAUCCAUUAAUUUUUUUUUUUAUAAAAAAUAUCAAUGCAUACUUUUUAUUAGUAAAGUUGGUCCUGUCCUCUGGUCCUGUUCAAUAGCGUUUUUCUAAGAAACUAAAUUUCCACCACAAGGUAUCAUUAUUUUUGUAUAAAAUAAUUUAUUUCUUUUGAGCUGACUUAGGUCCCUUCUAUCAAAUGACCACAGUAGAAUAUUAAUCAUUGUUUUUAAAUUGGCCUGGAUCUCUUUGGAAACGCCCCAGUAAAACAGUAAACACUACUCUUAUACUGUGUGUUUACAUUUUGGUCCACUUUAUUUGUUAUUAAACUUAUUGCUGUUUGUCAUCUCGUUGCAGAUGGAAUAUUCUUGAUUGAAGUUGACAGACUUUUAAGGCCUGGGGGUUAUUUCGUCUGGACUUCACAUUUGAACACUGUUAGAUCUCUGCGUGACAAAGAGAACCAGAAGAAAUGGACGGCCAUCCGUCAUUUUGCUGAAAACCUUUGCUGGGACAUGUUGUCACAACAAGAUGAAACAAUUGUGUGGAAGAAGACUACUAAAAAAAAAUGUUACAGUUCUCGGUAAGCACUCACAUGAUUAUACCGAUGUUUGAUCUUAAUGAAAUUUUGCCACCUAACACUGGUCAUAAAUAGAAAAGCGGCCUUUACAUGUAUAUUCUUGCAAAGUGAUCUAUUUGCAUUUGUACUCUCGUAAAACCUAGAUUAGAGUAUACAUGCCCUACAAUAGUACAGUUUCUCAGAAAUAUUCUUAUCUCAAGUUGGGUAGUCCUUUUGCAGGGAUAUAUACACAAAUUCAGAUUUUGAAAGGAAUUCUGUCUGUAAUUAGAUAAUUUUGAAGUGCUAUAUAUGGAAAAACGGGCGUGCACUUAUAUGUUUGUGAUUUACAAGGAUAUAUUUUACUUGUUUUCCAGGAAAGCUGGACCAGCAGUCUGUGGUAGAAGCCAUGAUACUGAGUCUCCAUACUACAAACCACUUAAUCCCUGCAUUGCUGGAACAAGAAGUGAGCGGUGGAUUCCAAUUGAAUAUCGAACCCCCUGGCCAGCUCGGGUUCGAUUGAACUCAACUGAACUUAAUAUACACGGUAAUAUACACCACAAAAUCAUUUGUUUUUCCCAUUUUUUGCCUGUUUAUGCAAUUAUUAACUCUACACUAUCUGGGAUGGAAGGUUGUCCUGUUUCAUAUGCAGAUGUUUUUGAGUUGAAAUAUAAACAUAUGUACUGCAGAAAAAAUUAUUAUUAUCAUAUAUGUGCCUGCAGAAUCUGAGUUUUCAUACAUGUCCUUUAAAAAUUUAAUUUCUUCUGUGGCCUUAUACUUGUAAUUAUACUCCUAUUUUGCAGGAAAAAACCUUCUUUUUUUUUGAGAGAGGAAGUAGAAAAAUACCUUUAUCAGAGUGUUUUUUGUAAGAAACUGCACUUUUGAGGGGCAUCUAUUAAAAUUCAGAUGUUAGAGGGGCAUAUAUGUAAAUUGAUGAUUUGUAGGGAUAUCUGUAAGACCCUUUUUUAAAUUUCUAUUGACCGGUACUUCACUUCCUCAGGCGUGCAGUCAGAUGACUUUGCUGAAGAGGUUUCAAGCUUGAAUUCGGCAGUGCGGAACUAUUGGUCGCUGCUUUCACCACUUAUAUUCUCAGAUCAUCCAAAGAGACCUGGAGAUGAGGAUCCCCAACCACCAUUCAACAUGCUAAGGAAUGUGCUAGACAUGAAUGCUAGGUUUGGUGGAUUUAAUGCCGCUCUUCUCGAAGCUGGGAAAUCUGUGUGGGUGAUGAAUGUUGUGCCUGCAAGUGGUCCUAACUAUCUUCCUCUGAUUUUUGACCGAGGAUUUGUAGGAGUUCAGCAUGAUUGGUAGGUUACUUUUUGCUCUCAUUCGAUACACAUAUUUUUGCAGCCUCAUGCAGAUAUUAGCAUAUACUGAAACAUAUCUGGGUCAAUUCUCUUAGUACAAGCUAGCGUAAGAAACUUAUGCUGGAGAUCUAACUUCACGAACCUUUGGUGACAUAAAUUGUUCCAGAAACUCAUAGGUCAUAACCUUUUCACUAUUAUCUACAACUAAAAUCUUCAGGGUGUAGACAAAAUCUGUCACUGGUUAGUUGUUUGUAAUAUAAUCUUUGUAUGUGCAUGACUUAUGAAUAGUUAACAGAUAUUAGGGGAAUAACGUCCAUGCCAUCUUGAAUGAUAGCUCGAAGUGUGGGACUGAUAUUUAUUACACCUCUGGAUAAAAUUAUUCUUUAAUUAUAUCUGGAGUCUAAUUACUAGUUUUGUGGAACUUGGAUUAGGUGCGAAGCAUUUCCGACAUAUCCAAGAACUUACGAUAUGGUGCAUGCUGAAGGAUUGCUUUCGCUCGAGAGGCAUCAGAAACACAGGUGUUCCAUGCUUGAUAUAUUCUUAGAGGUUGACCGCAUUCUCAGACCAGAGGUAUGGCUUAAUUACUUCUUUAUUUGCGAAUUCUUUGAGUUACAAGAUGGCUUACGGGCAUAUUUGAUAAGCCAAUCCAAGGAAUUGGACGCGUAGAGCAAUUUUUAAUUUGAAGAACAUUGCUUGCAUUCCUUAUUGUUGAAUAAUUCGAAUAUUUUUCAAUAUUAGAUAUCUAGUCUUUAAGCCUAAAUAUCUGGUCUCUGGCCCCAUCUCACGCUGGCGCAUGUGCAGGGCUGGGUAAUACUUCGCGAUACAGCUUCUCUUAUUGAAGCUGCUAGAUCAGUGACUGCACAGCUGAAGUGGGACGCCCGUAUGAUAGAUCUCGACAUCAGCAGUGAUGAGAAACUCCUAGUCUGUCAGAAGCCCUUUUUCAGGAGGCAGCAAUGAUUAUAUACCAUAAGUUAACAAUUAACACAGGUUGUUAUUUGGCGGAUGAUGGCAACAAUAAGGAAAAGAAGGAUUACAAAGUUAAAAACACAGGAGGAGGUAAGAAUUAUUGUUCAGUUAGCAUAAUCUUGUACUUCUAUGGAAAGCGCAAGGUUUCCAUGGAGCUUUGUAAUUAGCGAAAUAGGCAACGGUCCUCUCAGACAUAAGGUCAUGUUGUUCUUUUUCCUGGUCGAAGUUCAGUAUAAGGAUAGGAAUUGUAGCUGCGAAAGCUAUCUUAAGUUUGAAGCAUACAGAAUAAAGGGUUGAUGCUGCAGUACACACACAGGUCACAGCCAAUGUAUUUAUGUUGGUAUAUUACUUUUGAACUCAUUCCUCCUUGAAUGGGCACUUAUUCUUUCUUUUUGUACAUUCUUUCUUUGGUUAUUGUUGCAGAACCAGUUCAGCAAAUCAAUGCAUCAUUUUGUGUUUACUAGGAGAGUGUUUUCGAUUGAUUACGGUAUUUAACCCUGCAAAGUAUUUCCUUUUGGAAUUGAACAUGAAAAUUUAUCCGACCUAAAAAGGAAAAGAGUUACUUCGUAGCUGCAAUUUACACCAAAAUUUGCAUUAGUGUUGAUGGUCAGAAUUGGACAAACAAAUUAAAUUGGGCGAGUGUUUUACCUAGUAGAUUUGAUUGGUUCCGAUAAGAGUACCCAACUCAAAUUUGUUAAUAUUUGCCUCCCUUUGGCUAAAACGAUUGAAUUAACUUAUCAAUCUAUUUGGUGAACCAACUAUCCAUUGCUUUAUGAUUAGAGGCAAGUAAUAUAUUUGGUGAAACCCACUUACUAUUUAUAAUAGGUUUAUUAGAUAAUAAAGUAUGCUUAAUUAUCGUUUGAAUAACAUUCGCAUGAUACAAAAAUAAAUAAAAAUCCGACCACUUACUAUUUAUUAUAGUUUUAUUUAUCUUUUUAAUAAAAUUAGCAUGAUACAAAAAUAAAUAAAAAUCCGACCUUAGCUCAGUUGGCAGAGCGGAGGACUGUAGUUGUCUUCAGUAAUCCUUAGGUCGCUGGUUCGAAUCCGGCAGGUCGGAAAUUUUGCUUUUUGUUUUUUUACAUUAUAAUUCUAAAUUAUUAUGAAGUUUGAUAUAAUUUUGUAAAUUAUAACGAUAAUUUUGUUGUUACUUCUGCACCACAAUAAACAUAAACAUACUAUGAGUUGCAAGUUAAAAUAAUAUUUGAGCCCUUUGAGCCGCAUAACGCCCAUGAAUCGUAAGUUCAACGGAGUCAAGGCCAAAUCCUCGAACCGGUAUCUUCACGGCUAAACAAACCCUUCCCGUCUCCCCACUCACUCCUCUCGCGACCUUUUCCCCCGCCCAUGGCGCGGCGCCUCUCCGCCGUAAACCGAACGUUUCUCUCCAAUCUCUCUCCCUCCUCACCCCUCCCAAACCCUAACCCUAACCCUAACCUCUGCACCGCUUCAUCCGGCGCCGCCGCCGCCGCCGCGUCGAUCCUCCCCUUCCUGAGCUGCAAGCGCCGGAAGAAGCUCCGCAAGAAGAUCGCGAGCCCCCGCGUGGCCCCGAUCCAGCGCGAGCCCUCGCUCCGCGUCGACGCCCUCGACGUUGCCCUGGACCGCGACGCCGCGUUCCGGUUCCUCAACCGCGCCCGCUCCUUCCUCGCGCGCCUCCCCCUCCGCUCCCUCCCCCUUCCCCGCCGCGGGCUCCCUCUUCCGCGAGCUCGGCUUCCCCCGCGGCCGCAAGGUCUCCCGCUAACGCCCUCCGCCACCCCCUCCUCUUCCACCUCCCCCGCCUCCCCCCGGACUCCGUCCCCCACCUCGCCUUCACCCCUCUCAUGGACUCCCUCCUCGCCGAGGAGCGAGCCCUCUUCGACGCCCUCGAGCCCCGCCGCGUCCAGGCCGUGCGCAAGCUCCUCAUGCUCUCCGCGCGCCGCCGCGUCCCCCUCGCCAAGCUCCACCACUGCCGCGGCGUCCUCGGCCUCCCCGACGACUUCCGCGACCGCGUCCGCAAAUACCCCGACUGCUUCCGCGUCGCCGUCGACCCCGACGGGCGCCACGUCCUCGAGCUCGCCCGCUGGGACCCCGCCCUCGCCGUCAGCGCCCUCGAGCGCAGCUUCGUCGCCGACGAAUCCCGCGCGCGCCGGACGUUCAAAUUCCCGCUCCCGCACCGCAAGGCGUUGCCCCUCGACGAGGACGACGCGCAGCGGCUCGACUCGCUGACGACGCUCCCGCUGAUCUCGCCCUACUCGGACGGGUCGACGCUGACGCCGUGGUCGGUCGACGCCGAGAAGUAUCGGGUCGGCAUAAUCCACGAGUUCCUGAGCCUGACGCUGGAGAAGCGGGCGUCGAUCCACCACAUUGUGGAGUUCAAGGAGGAGUUCAGCCUCACGCGGCACACGUACCAGAUGCUGCUCAAGCAGCCGCGCGCCUUCUACCUCGCCGGCACGGAGAUGAACUGGACGGUGUUCCUGAGGGACGCCUAUGGCGACGACGGCGCGCUGAUCGACAAGGACCCGCAGGUCUUGUUCAACGAGAAGCUGGAGCGCUACGCUUCUUGCACCGCGGAGUCGGAUCCCGAAUGAAGGGACGGAUAAAUGAUGGAGGUGAUGAUGGUUCCAUUUUGGUCUCAAAUGCUCGUUGAGGCAUUAUUGUUUGGUAGGCACUGAUACGGAAGGUAAAGUUUAUUAUUAUCAUUCAUUCCAUUGUCGUGGCUUUUUUUUUUCUUUUCUUAUAGUAUUUCGCUGAUGGUUGGAGCUGGAAUUGCUGCGUCUUUUCAUUAUUGAUAGAACGUAUAGCAUUGAUAAGCUGAAGAUACAGCACACUUCUUAAAUGCCGAGCACCAGAUCCUUACGUUCUGAUGCUGCCCCUUUGGUUGCUUAUGACUAUGUUUCUAAACGGUGGGAUUUAACAUUUUACCUUUCGGUUGAUUAUUUCUGCCUGAUUUCAUUCAUGUACAUGUACUUAAAUUCACUUGUCAUUCACUUUGGCACGAUUGACACAGCCUGUUACCCUUUUCUAUAUUGGCGUUGUAUCCUUUCGUCAUUAGCCAAGUAGAUAAGUUCAUUCUCAUCUUCUGCUUUCGCCAAUCUAUAGUAUCUUCUCCACACUGAUGUAGUCCAUUCUGCACUGCAGAUGUAUGGUGCGCGAGAGCUCUCUCGAUCUUAGAAGAGCUGAGCUGCUGAGCCUAAGAUUGGUUUCAGCUAGCCUUCUGAAUUCGUUCGCUUUUACCUGAUCGACAAUUUCAUCGGGUUGCCGAUCAGAACUAUCAGCUGCGAGUUGCCUUGUGCUCAGUUAAGCGGGACUUUGUUUUGCCAGAAACUGCCAAUGGGUAUGGAUUCGCAUCAGUUAUACUCUUAUUACCGCUCAGCAUUGUGAAUGAUGGUUGGGUGGGUCAUUUUACAUGUAAAUUGCAAUAAGAGAUCAGGCCCUGUUAUCCCCUUGCUUUUUUGGAGUUUGUGGAGAGACCAAAUCUACUUGCUAGUUUCGUUUAAUAUGAAUCUCAUCUGCUCUUGUAUUUACUCAGAGUAGUUGGUGCAAGUUUUCUGAGGUGAAGUACUUUAUAGCUACUCAUUGAUGUGAAAAAGUCUAAAAUGUAAUAGUCACGUAGAUAAUGUGGUGUCUCCGACUAAUUUUGUUCAGGUUUUAAGAUUUAUCCAUUCCAUUAUGACUUUUAGAAAAAUAUUUUUAUUAUACUUAUCUCUCGAACAGAAAAAUUUGAUUGAUUGGAAUAUAAAUUACGAGGUGUGACCGUCACAACACUAGACUUCCUUCACUAAUGCAGGCUUAAAAUGUCCUUUCGAUUGGUGCUCAUUUUGUUUUCAACCAUUAGAUUGAAAGAUUUUAUGUACUAGCUUGAUGAUUAUUUGGUGGUUUGUUCAACAAGUUUUAGUGAAGUACCUUUCAUCAUUAUUAUUAUUUUUUUCAAUUUUUGGUACGAUUCAUGAGUUAUUAGUAACCAGCUGAUGAACAAGUACAGCUUUAUCAUUAGCGUGGAAGUUGCAGGAGUCGUCGCUUUGAGAACAAUUUUAAGGGCCAGCCAAAAGAUAGAGACUUCUGAAUACUUUAUUGCAAGAUUGUUGUAACGCUUGUACAAUUAGUGAAUUAUUUCUUCGCAGUUGCAAAUUAAUUUCCCUGAACCUUCGAGUGACAAUGCCUUCAAGUUUAUAACAAAUCUCCAUAUUAUUAUCUCACUUGUGCUUGUAAAUCAGUUCCAUUUCCACUUUAAGGUGGCGCUUCGUUUAUUAUUAUUGUUAUUAUUAUUAUUAUUGAGGGUAAUUCACUGUGGUUCUCAAUGAUCAGGAGGGGAAGCCGCAUUAGAUUAGGCAUCAUCUUACUUUAAGAUAAAUCUUUGUUUGUGUCCUCUGAUUAUUUAGCUUCUAUAAGAAAUACGACAGCAACUGCAUUCCUGUGCUUACUGGCAUUUCGAUAAUUUUUACGGUUCCCUGAAAAUUACUUCUUUAAAAAUUUUCCUACGUCAUCUUUUUUUUUUUCCCUCUAAUUAAAAACCAUAUGAUAGUUUUAUAUUAAAUAAUAUUUUAAUAAGAUUUACUCGUGUAUUUUUUUUUUCAGAAAAAUAAUAAUGCUGAGCUUUGUUAAUUUCUAUCAAACAAAUGAAACACUAUGAUACGUCAAUAAAACAUCUUGAGCUUAAAGAUAAACUAUACAUGGACUUACAAUUUCGAGGAUUGUCACGUUGGACUGAACCCGACAUUUAGGAUUAAAUCGGAUAAAUCUAAUCUGGUUCGAAACCAGGCGUGGUCCGAAUUAAACCUGGCUCGACCCAGUCGACGAAGAUUGCUGACGUGGUGGACCAACUCCAUUAAUAAUUUCACCGGCAAUUACAAUUGCAAUAGGAAUAAAAAAAGACAAAAUAAAUAAAAUAAAAAGGAAAGGGCUUUUUAUCGCCUGCGUGGUCGGCCAUACACGAGGAUAUAGCUCGUAACGCGGUGUCUCCCUACUCUCCCCUCUUUCUCGCGUCGUCUCUCUCGACCUAGGGUUUACUUUCGCUCUUUCCCCUCCCCAUUCCCCAAGCAAAAAAUUCGUGCCUCGCUCUUUUAACUCCCUUCUCGCCGCGUCCAUGGCAGCUAGGGUUUGGAGGGCGACGCUCCUCCUCCUCCUCGCCUCCGCCACCUCCGCCGCCGAAGUAUGCCCUAGGGCCUCCGUCGCCUCCUCGAUCGUGGGACAUGAUGCGGUGUGCUCGGCCCUCGAUACAACGGCGGUCGAUAGCUAUCCGAUCGGCGUCGUGGAGGUUUUUCUCUUUUGAUUUUUUCCCCCCCUUCUAAUUCCCUGUGAUUGAUUCCACCCUAUGUUGUAUUUGAUUUGAUAAAUCUGUGUCUUUGUGUCUUUGAUUCAUUUUUUUUUAAAAUUUGAGAUAUUAGUAUGGAGUAUUUAUUUUAGAUUCCCUGGUCCUAAUUAGCUUUGUGAAUUACUUAAUUCUAUGACGGUUAGAUUCCGUGGAGGAAAAGCACAAAGUAAUACUAAAAGUUAGCUUUUUGGUGGUUGAAGAGAAAUAUUGCUUGUGUUUAACAGAAACCAAAAAGCUAGCUUUGACUUGUCAUUUUGCUGUCAAUCGAAAGUCUGAAUGAAGCGCUUUUUAAUUUUUCCAUAUCUUUUUGAUAAUAAAAUGUUUAUACCAGGAUAGAUUAGAGGAGUUUCUUACGAAAUAGUAGUUAUUUUUAGGGCUAAAUUACAAAGUUGCAGCUUUUAAGUGUUGAAAAUAUUUUAUAUCAUGUAGAUUUUGUUUACUUUUGAUGGAAUGGAGGUGCAUAAGUUCAUUUGUUUUGUUAGUUAUUACAUUGUUGACUAUUGUAUUAUAUAAUCUGACGGUUUAAGGCUUUGGUGAAAAUUCAAAGCCAAAUCAAGAUGAUUCUGUCCUAUGAACUGUGGUUUAGAAAGGUCAAGGACGUAAACUUGCUUAUCAAUCAGAUGCUUGAGAAUUAAUAUUCUUCACAAGGAUUAAUUUUAAGCAUGUAAAUCUAAACUCGACUUUUAGGCUCUAUCAUUAACACCGGUAGGAUUCUGACUGCUGAGUUUUAAGUUGAUUUAGGUAGUUGAGUUAUACAUGCAAAAUUGAUUUGAGAAAUUAUUACUUACACAAUGCCUAUUUUAAUGUUCUAGCAUUGCUAUCAUUGUGAAAGUAACAGGCCGACAAUUGGCUGCGCUCAUUCCUCACACAACACUUGGACUUUUGAGCUAUUUUUUUUCAUCCUGAUACUUGUUUUUCUCUGUUGUAUUUUUCAUCCUGCUAAAAAUUAUCUCUUUGUGAUUUUCUAAAUCCUGAUGCACUUAUCUAUACUAGGGAGAUGAGGCUACUCUGCAAAGGGCAGUGAAUCUGGUGCACUGGAACAGGGAGGAUUAUGUGGCCGUGCUUUUCUAUGCUUCCUGGUGUCCUUUCUCCAAAAUUUGCAUGCCAAAUUUCCAGAGUUUGUCACUGCUGUUUCCAUCCAUCCGCCAUUUUGCAUUUGAAGAAUCUGUCAUCAGGCCAAGGUGUGUGUUCAGUUAGUUAUAUUUGCCGUCUAUAAUUUGAUCAUUCAUAUGCAUGGGAAGUUACUGAAAUUUUUAAAUCGCAGCAUUCUCUCAAGGUACGGAGUUCAUGGCUUCCCAACACUUUUUCUCUUAAACUCCACGAUGCGUGUGCGGUACCAUGGAGCUAGGACAAUCAAUUCCCUUGUUGCUUUUUACAAUGAUGUUACAGGUAAUUUGAAUUUCUUCCGUGGUUUAUUGGGUUAUUUGAGAUGGUUCAUUAAGUUGGGAAAAGUUGAAGAACCUCUUAAGGACAUUCUUAAGAAUUACUUCCUAACGAGCAUUUUCUUUUAGACCUGAACCUUUUGCGAGGGUGACCUUCAUACAUACAAGCUUUCUUGCUAUUUUUACUCUCAAAUGUUCCUUUGUUUUUGUAUCACAUAGAAUGAAAUUCUAUUCAAUUAGAAGUCGUUUUAACAUCUUGGCUAACAGACCGACUGUCCCUAGCGCAAGUGGCAAAAGGGCUUGGUGGUUGGUACCCGAGACCAAAGUUCGAAUCCUAGUUGAUCCACAUUUCCAGCUAAGUUUAUUUCUAAAUGAAAUAAACGAAGCGGGUAGCAGCAUGCUUACCUUUCUCUCAAAAAAAAACAUCUUGGCUAACAGAUCUAAAGGUCAAAUUGUAGUUUUUAUUUUGAAAUUGCUAUUCGUCUUCUCCUUUCUGAAGCUGGUCCCGGAUCUUACAUUGUUGUGUUUAAAUUCUUGAAGGGAUCAAUCCUGCAUUGUCGCAUUCAAUGCCUGUGGAGAGGAUCGAAGACUUGCUAGCCGGCGAUGAAGUAAAGGAAGACAUUGUGCAGGAAAACUGCCCCUUCUCAUGGGCAAGGUCGCCGGAGAAACUCCUUCAGCAAGAUACAUAUCUGGCACUGGCAAUCUGUUUUGUGCUCCUGAGGGUGCUUUAUUUCCUUCUUCCGAAACUUAAGACAGCCCUAAAGCGGAUUUGGAGGCGGCAUACCCGUUUUGCAAGUUUGAUGAACUUGGGCCAUUAUUUCGAGGCACGUAUGGAACAAGCCAAGCAAGUAUUCGGGAGGUUAAACCCAUGCAAACGAAGCAACUUACGGAAUGGUGCGAUGAAUGCUACAAAAUGGGCCUGGGCCUCGAAAUCACUAGCGUCAGUGUCAAUCGGAGAGCCGAGCUCCGGGAGGGCCUCUGCUAGCGAAAGAAGAUAGAAGUAGAGUUCUUGCUUUGUUUGUCUGUAUAGUAGAUGGGCCACGCAAUGUUGUUUUUCUGAGUUUUUUCUUUUUUUUUCUUUUUUACUUUUGUUUUUCUACUUAUUUAUUGGUAGCGGGUAGGGGCGUCGACAAUUUCCUCUCUUGGGGGAAGAUGAUUUAAUUGCCAAAUUAAUUGCAGUUACUUCCUGUGGGGUUAUCCACAUCUACAUCUGAUAUUCUUGGAAGAAUACACCCCCUGUAUUCAUGUUGUUGCCGGAGAAUACUAUUUAGCUUAUUCAGAAAUCUGUCGCUGGUGGCUGCAUGAGCUGCUUGUGUUAUUCCACAAUUGCGUGAUCUCGAUCUCUUGCUUUCAUUAUGUUAUAACAACAGAUUCAUUUUCACAAUUGGAGCCCAUUUGGGCAGAUAUGAUCGGAAAUGAAUGAAGUGUAGUUUGAAAUACAUGCAGAUGAAAAUAUAGUCGUUCGAACUAUCUAUGUUUUGUUUGGGUGGUAAUAAAAAAUGUUGUGAUUAUAAAUAAUUUACUAUAUUGCAUAGAGUGAAAAAUUAUACUUUAUAAAAUCUUAUUACUUCAUAUAUACGAUUGCGAGAUUAUUCCCAAUAUAGGGAGGGAAAAAUACUGUAAGGUUAAGUUUGAUUUUGUUUAAGAUUAUUAUAUUCAACUGCAGUAUAGUUAAUUAAAUCUUUUCUUGUAAUUUUAAUUACAGUAAUUAAGCUUAAAUGCACUAAAUUAAACACCACAUGUAUAUAGCUAUUACUAUACGUAACCAAUUAAUUUAUGGCCUCUGGAAUGAUUUUGACCUUUCAUGCGAACUGGGACUAAGGACGUACGGUAACGCGUAAGCAAAGUCCGCUAUGCUAACUUACCGAUUCAGAGUUUCAGAUAUAUAUUCAUGUGAGAUUAGUGCUCGAACGAGCGACUCUUCCUGGUACCAUCUCUAGACUUAAAUUUAACCAAUCGUUAAGCAAAGUACACGAAACGGAUGAUGUCAUCUAGCAAAUGACAACCACCGUUACCUCAUAUACAUCAGUUAUUCAACCUGCUAAUAACCAUACAUUUUUUUUCUUUUUUCGCUUCUAUCUCUAUAUAUAUAUCCGCCACUCAAAUACGCAUAUGAUUAAUAAUCCGCACGUGUAAUUCUGGAAGGAUGGAAAUUAAUCCAGUUGAUAUUAUUUGCCUUAUGCAUGAUGCAUGGUCAAUCUUAUUAUUUGAUCAUUAAUUGAAAUUUCUUGCAUUUAUUGAAGACCAUAUAUACGUCCAUGGUAUGAUCGAGAACAUAAGCUAAGACAUACAUGUAAAUAUCUAUAAUUAAUUCAAGCACGUGCUGAUACGAAGAGCGCACCCAUCACACUUAAGACUCAGUCACAAUGCUCGUUGGCUUCGACCCGACUCAAUCUACUUAGACGUUGGGUCUAUUGUUGGGCAUCUUGUCGUUAGAUCUCUUGUAGAUCGCACCUCUACUUAACUUAUUAGUUUCACCUAACUCAAUUUAUUAGUCUUUUGGAUCUGUUAUCACGAGACAGAAUGUUGGACCUAUUUUAGCCCAACAAUAAAUAGCUAACAGAAUAUACAUGUAUUUAUCUCAAUUUGAAUUGAGAAAUUUAAUUAUCUGAAUAAUACUAUGCGCGGCUGGAAUGAUAAAACAACUGCUGCUUUUUUAAAAAAAAAUUCCCACAUACAACACUAACUAGUUCUGUGAGAAAAGAGAAGAAGAAAAUCAAGAUUAAUUAGUUUCGUGAGGAAUGCAAUAGAAUAUAAAAUGCAUGUGUUGUAUUUUGAUUUUUACUCCCCUUUCUUGUUUUUCAUUUAAAAAAGAAAAAAACCUAGAGCAUAUGAGAUAUGGUCCAUAAAUUGAUGAUAGAUACAGUACUGGACAAGGUCGAAUUCAAGCAAAAGUUGUGAUCAGCUUAGUAAGCUAAUCACAAGUGACAUGCAUGAUUCGUGAACAUGCAUGUCCCGAGAAUUUAUCCCUGCCGUGCAAAAUAAAGAGUCUUGUCCACGGCGCCCCGUGACCUCCAAUGACAAUUUUGAACGUAUACCAUGAACUUAUAAUUAUUGCAAGCGAAAAAAAUCAAACAGCUAAGCCUAUAAAUACCUGUUAUAACUCACGUAUGCUUGUAUGAAACGUUGCAUGCAAAAAUAAAUGCUUAAAAAAGGUACUUUGUUGAGCAAGAGAAAGAGAUACAUAUAUACAAGCUAGGAAGGGGAUAUAUAUAUAUAUAUAUGGGCGUUUCUUUAGAAGCCUUGGCCAUGGCGGGAGCCGACAACGUCGAUUGCUCUAUAGACUUUGAUGAAGAUGAUGAUUGUCUCUUUCCUCAACAUCUCCUGGCGAGUAAUAAAUUAGUUGGAGUAGAUGAGAGUGAUGAAGAUGUUGAUGAUAGUUCCUCGGAAAGUAGACGAGGAUUCAGUAGAGAGGAGAUAAAGGCGAGUGAUGAAGAUGAUGAUAGUUCUUCGGAAAGUAGACGAGGAUGUAACGAAGGGGAGAUAGAGGCGAGUGAUGGAGAUGAUGAUGGUUCUUCGGAAAAUAGGCGCGGAUGUAAGGGAGAGGAGGUAAAGGCGAGUGACGAAGUAGAUGAUAGUUCUUCAGAAAGUAGACAAGGAUGUAACGAAGAGGAGAUAAAGGCGAGAUUGGCGUUAUGGGCUAAAGUAGUUGCUUCCUCCAUUAGAGAAAAGUUUGGGAUAUGUUGAUGUUAGUUAUCUAGAUCGAAGAGGAAGCUUCAGUGCUGAGCCUUUAGAGCGCUUGUGAUUGCUGGAUUAAUCCUUUCUUUUUGGCAAGUUAAAAGAUUUAAAUGUUGAUUUUUUUUUUAUUUUUUUUUUUUUUGAAAUGCAAUGUUCUCAGCUUUAGCCUGCAUGUGCAUGUGCACGUGCAUGUGCUUUUCUUUCUGCUUGUUGUACAACUGGUCUAGCCAGAUUAUUGUUGACCUUGCAAGCUGUCGUAUGGUUCAUAUGUAUCUAUGUUGUGUACUGUGCUUCUCUGUAGACUUUUUUAGUUAACUUUUCUCUUCAUAUAACUGGGUUAACCCAUUUCCCAAAAAAAGUUGAAAAAUAACUGUCUAAUAAAUACAUUGUAUCUUCAUAUUGUCUCAAAUUGUUUGAAGUUAAUUCAUUGUAUCUUUAAUUGUUUGUUUUAAUUUGCAAAAUAAUCAAUAAGAAUUAGUGCUUCUACACAAUGCAAAAGUUUACCAUUGGACUGUGAUUGAUAGAACUCUAGAUACAAGCAAAUUAUUGCGUAAAGUUAUAGAAUAUCUAUUUUAAAGAUGGGAAAAAAAGAGAAGAUGAUCACUAAAUAUUCAAUUCAGCUUUUUUUUUUUAGUAGUCCAUUAAUUGGUAGGCAUCUUUGAACACACAUUUUUUAAAUUAUAGUAAUUCCUCACAUUUAAAUGUGUUUCCUUGCAUUCUAAAUUUUUUUUAAAAAAAAGCUUAUAAAAGACGAGUAGUCAAGAAGGAUGCUUAUCCUUUAAUUAAUAUUCUCAAUUAAUUAAUUAAUGUUCUGAUUAUCUAACUAACUUACUUUAUUAACUAGUUAUCUAACUAAUUAACUAACUAGUGAAAAUAGCUACUCAUUAUAUAAAUCUAGUAUUCUCUAAAUCAUGUACAGUUUAUUAAAUUAACUUUCUAAACUAUCAUAUAUUUACUUUUAUAUUUUAUAACCAUACGCAUCCACCAUUUUCCCUCUUCUGGCCCAAUCGUGAAGAAGCUAUUAUUUUAUUUCUAAGAAUAAUUUAUUUUUUAGCUAAAAUACAAAAAAUUAAGAAUUUACUUAUUUUAUAAAUUAUUUUUAUUUUAGAAAUAACGAGAAAUAGUUUUAUUUUGGAAAACUUCAAAUAUCGCCUAUGUGGUUUCAUACUUUUUACUUUAGUACCCUGUGAUUUAAAAUGUAUCAAUUUAGUACUAUGUGGUUUCACACUUUUUUAUUUUACUACCCUGUGGUUUAAAGUGUAUCAAUUUAAUACUCUGUGGUUUCAUUUUUUUCUUUUCAUCGGCUUUUCUGUUAAUAUUUCGUUAAAUUAUAAGCAAAAAAACUUCAGAUACCCUACCUAGAUUUAUCUAAUAUUUAUUUUAUUAUUCUUUAAUUUUAACUUUGUCAUUGAUUUUUUUUUCCUCCGUUAAUAUUUCGUUAAAUUAUAUACAAAAAACUUCAUAUACCCUACCUAGGUUUAUCGGUUUUAACUUUGUCAUUGAUUUUUUUUUUCCUCCGUUAAUAUUUCGUUAAAUUAUAUACAAAAAACUUCAGAUAUCCUAUUUAGAUUUAUCGAAUAUUCACUUUAGUACCUUUUAGUUUUAACUUUGUCACUGAUUUAACAAAAAAAAUAGUGAAAUAGAUAAUAAAAAGAGAAAAAAUAAAAUCAUAGGGUACAAACUUGAUACAUUUUAAACCACAGAAUACUAAAGUAAAUAAAUGCAAAAUCACGAAGGCUAACUUGAUACAUUUUAAAUCACAUCAUAUAUAUAUAUUAUUAUAUACAUAAUUUUGGAAGCAUGAUUUUCAAAGUAAACUACAAGCCGCCAUGUGGUGUAUUUUUAUGAGAAGUUUUAAUAUAACUUAAUAAUAGUAUAGCUUAUUGUGUUUCAAUAUUAUAUAUAUAAAAUAGUUAUGAGAAGUUCUAAUAUAACUUUAUAAUAGUAUAACUUAUUAUGUUCUAAUAUUAUACUAGCGUAGGGACCCGCGCGAUGCGGCGGGUAGAAAUAUUUUAGUAAAAAUUUAUAGUCUAUAGAUUUAACAAACAAAUAAAAACGUUAAAAAGAAACAGAAAAAAUAUUUAAAAUAUUAUGAAGAGUAAUAAAUAAUAAAAAAAAACUAAAGAGAUUCAAAUUCACACUUAACUAAUCAUAUAAAGAUAUUUAUCAAUCCUAUUAUCUUUUCUAAUUCAAAUUAGAUUUUUCUUAAAAAUCAAUUAUUAUUGCAUUUGUUUAUGGACAUUCAAAUUGUCAUGCCAUCAAAGAAUUAGCACGAAAUGUAAAAAAAUAAAAGAAAAAAUAUGAAGGAAUAUAUGAUAGUCAUACAAAUAAAUUUAAAAAUAAUAAUAGUUAGUUUUUAACUACCGUUAAAUUAUAAAAAUCCACUUUUCAUAUAUCUGUAAGCUAACAAUCUAUAUAUUAUGUUAGUUUGUUGAUGUAAAUACUAAUUUAAUCAGUUUUUUUUAUAAUUUUACUCCAUCAAUUUUGUUUAACUCAAAUGACUUAUUCAUGAACAGUAAUAUGCAAUAAAAAAAAAAGAGAGAGAGAAAUAAUACAUAUUCAUCCGACAUAGAAGGAGAGGAAUCUGCAUUAGCAGCUUCAAUUAGACAAUUCGAAAGUUUUAUCCGAUGACUCCAUUUUGCCAUUCUGUAUCGAAAAAAUCUCCUAAUAUCAUCUAUGGUCUUCUCGAAAGAGGAUAAAAGAGGGCAUUAGACCAAGAACAGUCUCUUUCCUUUUAUAUAAAUAAAUAAAAUUAGGAAGAGUUCAGAAAUUUUGGGAUGUUAUUGGCUAUGAUAAUAAUAAAAAGACUCACUUUCUAAAGCAAAGCUUUCUAUCCUCCUUUAGGCUAGCAACGAAGCUUUAAUAACCAAGAGGUCUUAUCUUUUAUUACAUGCAUACCAUUAUUUAUUUGGAGUUUGAUAACUAAGAGGUCAUGGCUAGCUUUUAUUACAUGCAUACCACUAUUUUGUAUUUGGGAGGUGAGAGGGGAGCAGUUUUGGGAGAUGAGAAGGUAGUAGUUUUGGGGAUUCAUUUAGUUUUAUUUCUUUUAUUAUGUUAUAUGCAUGGAGUUACAUGCAUAUAUAUUUAUAUUUCAAAACAGUUUUGGAAAAUGAAGAGGUAGUAGUUUUGGGAUUCAUUUAGUUUUAUUUUUUUUAUAAAACUUUUAUUAUGUUAUAUGCAUGGAGUUACAUGUAUAUAUAUAUUUAUAUUUCAAACCAUCAUUAAAAACUUUUAUUAUGUUAUAUGCAUGGAGUGACAUGCAUAUAUAUAUUUAUAUUUCAAAUCAUCAUUAAAAAAUAUGAAAAAUCUAAAAAAAGAAGAGCUUGCCAUGUCAUCAUUCUUAUUGGGGAUUCAUAUAGAAUUAUAGAUAUAUAAAGUGAUUUCAUGAAAAAUUUUAAUUAGUAAUAAAUUACUCAAAAAUUAUAAUUAAAAGUGAGAAAGUGUGAAACCAACUCGGUAUUUGAAGGUUACCCUUUUAUUUUGGAACGAAUCGCCACGUGGGCGCAUCGAGCCUCGUUGUCUCCUCCUUUGCGUCCCCACGCGUCGCUCCUCGCCGUUCUCCUUCCUCCUCCUCCCUCCUCGGAUCUCCCCGCUCCAAGCUCACAACCCCCACCAUUAAUGGCGGCGCUCGGAGCCCUGGGCUACUACUCCCAAAGCAACUCCCCCUCAUGGUGGAAGGAGAUCGACGCCUCCGAGGAGUGGCAACGCGGCAUCUGCUUCGCACUCUCCGCCUCUUACGCCCUCGUCUCCCUUGUCGCCCUGGUCACAUUCCCUCCCUAAAUCCCUCUCUCUCUCUCUCUCUCUCUCUCUCUCUCUCUCUGCUGUGCUCUCUGUAGUUUUUCUCUUUUAUAUCACUGGUAAAUCGUGUGGCAUUGUAGUGUAGUUGGAAAGAUUGUGAUGAGAAUCUUCGAUUCUGGCUUAAAUUUACUAAAAAAAUAAGUGUGAUUUGGAUAAUAAUUACUUGUAAUGUUGUAAGAACUGGAGCCCUAUGCCAUUUAGAUUAUGUAAUAUUGCCUAUGGGCACACUUUCCAUUUUACCAUAGAACGUUGGAAUGAACUGUUCCAGCAGUUUUACCUUGGAACCUUGGACAGGCAAUAAUGUCGUCAGACAUGUGAUUUACAUCGAGGAAAGAAAUUAUGUUGUUAGUGCUCAUACUUGGAACCGAUUUUUGGAUGUCAUAAUUCCUGUUUUUGUACUCUUUUCUCCUUGGAAACUGAUGGUUUCUUAUUAUAGAAGUAUGAUUCAUCACUGCCCGAUCAAUUGAUUUUCCUUGUGCUGCCGAAAGUUUGAAUGAACAAAACACAAGUGUCUGUUUGAUCUAGCUUCUCAUACUUCGCUGCUCAACGAGCAAAAGUCAUUCAUUUGGCAAAAUACAAGUUACAGAGAGUGGUGCAUAGCCAUGAUGCUUACAUUACUUUUAUCUGAUUAGUCUUUCCAAGCCCUUUGCACAUGUGGGAAUGAAAUAGUUCUAAAUUACAUUUUAGACUCGGUAUGAUUUUUAGAAGUAUCAUUGCUUUAAGCGACAAUUAUGCAUGCAAUUGCUAGUGCAUCUGACGUGUAUUACAAUGCUUAUAUUGAUUUGGCCCAAUUUGAUUCUUUUUAUGAAACUAUCAUAAAUCUGAAUGGCUUAGGAAUUUAUUUUUCGUAUGGGGAAGUUAAGCCAGUUACUAUUCAACAAAAAAAAUAAAAAAAAAAGUGACGGAGGUAUAUGUUAUGAGCUUUGUUAAACUUAUUUUUUUAACUUACUGGCAUUCUUUUUGUUCGUUUGUUCUGAAAAUUGUCUUUGUCAGGUGCAACUCAUUCGGAUACAACUGAGAGUACCAGAGUACGGAUGGACAACACAGAAGCUCUUCCACUUAAUGAAUUUUGCUGUCAAUGGAUGUAAAUUCAUGGUUCUUGUGUGUUCCCCUGAUUUAAUCUGCUUUUUCAUUUCAAAUAGUAACUGUGCUUGUAUUUGUUUGCAGUGCGUGCAAUUCUAUUUGGCUUCUACCAUUCGGUUUUCCUUCUCAAGUCAAGAGUAAGUGCCCGCCUAUUGUUGUUGCCAAGAGAUUGAGCAAACUGAGUUACUCACAGUAUUAAUUCAGGCCCUGGAGAUGGCACUUCUUGAUCUUCCUGGUUUGCUGUUCUUCUCAACCUACACUUUGCUAGUCUUGUUUUGGGCAGAGAUAUAUUAUCAGGUACUAUUACUUUGUUUGUUGCGUAUAUCCUCUCAUCUAAUAGUCAGCCUGAAGUUAGUGGUUCUAAAAUCUAUUGUCUGUGUUUAGGCUCGAAGCCUCCCAAUCCAUAAACUGAGACCAGCAUAUCUUAUCAUCAAUGGGGUUGUAUACACCACACAGGUAGAUGAUUUUGUUUAAAUAUCUCAGGCAUGUAAGGUGCUGUAACCUUUUUCUCUUUUGUUGCUUGUAGAUUUGCAUUUGGAUCUAUGUGCAACUUUCUUCUAGGCCUGUUGCUGUGGAGGUUGCUAAGCUUUUCUUAGCAGGUUUCAUUUUGCAGCUAUGAGACUUUCUAUAAAUUCUCUGCGUCACCACAUUGCACUUAUUUUGUUUUUGUCUGAAUUUAUAUACAUGGUUGGUUGACUUUAUUGAUAUCCAAAUAUAUUGACAUCAAUACCUCCAUCUUUUUGUGCAGUUGUCUCAUUUUUUGCUGCUUUAGGAUUCUUGAUAUAUGGUGGAAGGUAUUGAUUCUUCUAGCUGAAGAAAGCUGUGGACUUUCUUUUACUUUUCAGGAAUAACAAACUAUGGAUUUGUCUAGGCCGGAUUGAAUUUGAUAGUGUACACCUGGUUAUCCCUACUAUUGCUUACUCAGAUUCUUGUCUGAUUAAAGGUUGUUCUUCAUGCUGAGGCGCUUCCCGAUUGAAUCUAAGGGUCGGCGUAAGAAGCUAAAUGAGGUAAUAUUUAUCAACUUGUUUUCCCCCUGCUUUAUUACUUAAUUCGGGAUGAGUAAACAGUGAUCGACUGUUUAAUGUUCACUGGAAAGGGAAAACGUUUUUCACGUUGGUGCUCCUGUCUAGUGUGGCAUAUCUGAUGUGAUGUUGGUCACUUGAUAGUAUUAUGGUUUUCCCAUCACUCUUUGUUUUCUUUAAGGUUUCUAACUUCAUUGACGAUAGUAUUUUGGAACUUCUACAUUCUAAAAUUAUAAUGGUUAUGAAUAUGACUCGUUGUGUGAUCCUGAUCUUCUAUGACACGAAGUGCCAUCAUUUGUCUCUUUCUAGGAGCAUUUAAUUUCCCUACAUCAGUGUGGGAAAUAUCAACCCUUGCAAGUAUUUUAAAACUAUUCUUCUAGUGUAUUCGGAGAUCAUAGAUGCUUGAUAAGAACCUUUUAUUGUGUCACUUAGAACGUUAUCAUGCAAAUAGUCAUAAAAAAAUCUCUUCUGACUUACGGACGUGAGUUGAAAUCUCUAUAAAUGGUGAUGCUUCAAUAAUUGAAAUUAUUUCUCCAUAGUGAUUAAACUACGAUGUGGAAAAAAAAAAGAUAAAAAAAAAAAUCGAAGGACAAGCAUUUACCAUCUAAAAUUUUCCGUGACCUUUUUCCGGCAUCCUGCAUAUUCUGGAUUAGUUCUCAUCUGAGGACAAGCUCUGGCACUCCUUGGUUUUUGAUAUGUGACAACUAUAUUUAUUCAAUUUCUCUUUUUUAUGCCUUAUGGUUUUCUAAUGGUAACGUGCUGUACAAAGGGUGACUAUUCAUGCAUCACAAAAAUUAAGAGCCAGUGGAUUGGCAGUAUGGGGUACUAAAUUGGUUUCUGGAGUUCUAAAUUAAGGUUAAUGUAUUGCUUUAGUUGACUUCUUUCUUAAGCAUCAACUAUGCUGAGCUGCUUUUAUUGCUUGUGCGGCCUCAUGCUCAUCGUGAUAGUCUUAUUUUGUUUCACAGGUUGGUUUUGUAACUGCAAUAUGCUGCACAUGUUUUCUUACACGCUGUUUUGUGGUAGGUCACUGAGGUUCUGAUUUUUGUUUGUGAAUUCCAGCGACAUUAUCUUAGACUAGCUAGGUGGACUAGACUUUUUAUUGUUGCCUUAUAAAUUCUUGAUUUUUCUGUAGGUCGGCCUUUCUGCAUUUGACAAGGAUGCCGACGUUGAUGUCCUCGAUCAUCCUGUGCUAAAUUUGAUCUAUUACAUGGUCAGUUGCUGCUUUAUCUCUCUUCCUUAUUGCCUCCUCUGUAGUCGUGGGAAACGAACUUUCUCAUCACUCUUGCUUUUAAUCUGAUCAAAUUGGUGCUGGCUUUCCUGCUACUAUAAUCUUUUCAGUUAGUUGAAAUUCUGCCGUCAGCCCUUGUCCUUUUCAUACUUCGUAAGCUGCCGCCAAAGCGAGUUUCAGAUCAGUAUCACCCUAUCAACUAGUAGCUCAGUCAUGGUGAGGAUUCCUAACAAGGCAAACCAUAUUUUUAUGCUUUUUAGAGCUGAAUUUGAUCAAUUUGUUGAUUGUUCUCUUUUUCUUACAUUGCUUUAUUUUUAUCAGAUAGUACGAAAAUUUUCGUGAACACCGAGCCACAGUUGCUCUGCUUCAGGGAGGAACUACAACGAAAUUUUCUCCUCUCCUUUUUCUUUUUCUUCUCUCUCUCUCUCUCUCUCUCUCUUUGGUUUCUUUUAUCUAGUGAUGGGAUUACUGUAGGCCUACCGAUAGUGUAGCUAGUUGCCGAGUACUCACGCUUGUAUUGAGUUUUGCGUGGAUAAUAACAUGAAACUAACUGUUUCAAAUAUAUGUGCCUGUUUUAUUAUAUGUUUCUUCUAGUUUGCAAAUUAAUUGAAGAAACUAGAUGGUAUAGUUCCCCUAAGAUAUAUAUUUGGCACUAUUCUUUGUAGAAUAGUAAUCAAUGAGAAAUUAUUUCUAAAAAAAAAAAAAAAAAAAAAUGGUUGUUCCAAAGUAUGACUUAAAAGGCAUCAGUUCCCCAUACCACCAAAAAGCAAGUAGCCAUCUUAAUUUUAAAUAGUUAAACCGCAUUAUAUGAAUAAUUCUCCUGGUUAAAUAAAAUACCAUUUCUUUGGGUCCAUCAGUUUUCCUUAAUAGCCGUUAGUAAUGUGAAAACAAAAAUUUGAUAAAUGCAAUUCGUGCAUUUAAAUUAAGAGGGUUUAAAACUUGUACUUCGCCAUGUGAUUAUCGUAGAAGCCAUAUGUUGCUUCAUUGGUGAGUAUGUACACUCAUAGAGAGGUGCAGAAACUUUAUAAGAAUAUAAACGUUUUUCCUUUUUUUUUUUUUGUUUUGAGACAAAGAUAUAAAAAUGUUAAGCAAUUAGAUUUUGAACUUAAAAUUUCGGAUACCAUUCGCGUUAGAAACCAUAGGUAUUUAAAAGGCAAUUUUUCCAAACAAGUCAUAUUAUAUUAUGAAAGUUAGGCUGUUGGAAGUGCCUACAAAACAUUUAUCUUUCAAUUAGUUAAUUUUAUUUGUCUUUUCCUUCGCGCUUCACAGAUUUUAUUAACAAUCAAAGCUCACAGAGUCAUUAAUUUUAAUAAAAUUUAUGACUUCUCAGGAAAACUAUAGCUUAAAUGAAAAGCGACAGUUGCAUCGCUUGUAUGUACAUAAAAUUUCGUAACGAUUCGAAUCGUCGAUCAACUCCGUUAAACUUGAUCUAAAAUAUUUAAAGUACUUAGAAAAUAAAUUAUGCGAUUUUUUGAUAUUAUUUACCUAGUGAAUGAAGGGGCUCAAAAUCAACGGCUGAAAAUAAAAAUUUUACAAAACGUGAUAAUAUGACAUUAAAAUUUUAGAUCAAAAAUAUUGAUCUUGUUUUAUAUAGUAUAAAGAAUUUUUUAUCAAAAAUUCACGUGAUUAUAUAUAUAUAGAGUGAGGCUACUCUGCUAUCGGAAGCACGGAGCCUUCCGUGCUUCCAGCUCGUUUUCGAUGUUGCGACUUUCGAAUCGUCGAUCGGCUCCGUUAAACUUGAUCUAGAGUAUUUGAAGUACCUAGAAAAUAAAUUUUAUGAUUUUACGAUAUCAUUUGCCUAGUGAACGAAGGGGCUCAAAAUCAACGGCUGAAAAUAAAAAUCUUACAAAAUGUAAUAAUAUGACAUUAAAAUUUUAAAUCAAAGAUAUUGAUCUUGUUUUAUAUAGUAUAAAGAAUUUUCUAUCAAAAUUUCACGUGAUUUGGAUAUUUCUACACCGUUAAACUUGCAAACGGCUCACUACGGCCAUUGAAAUUUGUUGAUUUUGAGCCCAUUCGAUCACUAGGCAAAUGAUAUCGAAAAAUAAUAAAAUUUAUUUUCUAGGUACUCCAAAUACUCUAGAUCAAGUUUAACGGAGCCGAUCGACGAUUCGAAAGUCGCAACAUCGAAAACGAGCUGGAAGCACGGAAGACUCCAUGCUUUCGAUAGCAUAGUAGCCUCACUCUAUAUAUAUAUAUAUAUAUAUAUAUAUAUAUAUGCAACUAAUUGUUUUCUUUCCCGUACUUUCACUACAUAAAAUUUCGUGACGAUUCGAGAAGCGACAGUUGCAUCGCUUUAAACUGUUCGUCUCUCGGAUCUAACGUGAGGAUCCGCCAUGCCCAUGACACGGGUAUAUCUUCCGAAACCAUCUUGAGUCGUUGAGAUUGCAGAAUUGUGUCUCAGUGCAUUCGGGCUCGAGCGUUGUCUUAAAAAUAAUUCUUUUAAAUAUAAAAUGGGCUCGAAUAUGGCAAAAACAGGGCAUGACCGGACGCGGACCGGGCCGGGCCGGGCCACAUGUUUGGUUUUCUGGGGCGAGACUCGACCCGAGACUUACUUAGUCAGAACCGGGUUUUGGGCCGAGUAGAGAACGCAGAGAACUUCGUACGCGGAAAUAUCUGCGAUUUUAUGCAUCUUCUCUGCAAAAUGAAAAUAGAAAAUAAAUAAAAAAAAAAUUGAUGUUAACAGAGGUGCAGAGAUAUUCUUUUCGUCGUUUGUGAAACUCAACUUAUAUUUGCGCUAAGACAGUGGUCUCGUACGUGUAUGACUGAAUGCAUUUUCCAUGCAUUUAUCUUUUAUUUUUUCAUUGUCUUUUUUUCUUUUCUCUUUUUUUUCUUUUCUGUUUUUUAAAGAUUAGCAAGAAAAUUGGCACGUUUGGUUUAAAGAAUUUGAGACUUCAAAUAAAAAAUCAAAAUAAGUGUGGAUUAAAAGAUUGGCAUUUUAAUUUCCACUCUGAGGGAAUUGAAUCCCUCUCGUCAUGGGGUUAAGAGCCAACUUUGAUUUCGAAGUGAUUGAGUAAAAUAAUUUUUUUUUUCUUGACCGAUAAUUAUUUUGAAUUCGCCGUCGAAAAAUUUGAUGAUUAGUAUGUGAGAUUUCAGAUUUAAAGCAUUGUUGCUUUAUAUUUAUAAGUAAAUGUAUUUUCAAAAAGAUUAUCAAAGCCGGUAGAAUACUAUUUUUCUCAAUUCAAGCAUAUUAGGAGUGCCGAAGAAUAUAUUAGACUUAGUUUUCCGAUUAUAUUUGCAAAGUCUCAGAAUGCUAUGCUAGAUGACAUGCAAUGCUAUAUAUGCUGCAUGAGAAUAAUCAUUUGAUUCGUGUUUGCUUGCUGGUACAAGCUGCGCAUAUUAUUCUAAUCGAGUUGCGAUUUCCAUUAACGAAUUCUUUUGUCUAGUUUUACUGAAAAAUAUGUUUACCAAUCUACCCUCAUUUUCAAAAUAUUUCUUAUUAAUCUAGUCUCACUUCAAGGGAUUAAGAAAACAAUAAAAAUUUAUUUUUAGUGGUAAUUAAGAAAGGUCUUUCUCUCCCUUUCCGUGGUACGUACCUACUUUUCUCUCUCUAACUCUCUCUCUCUCUCUACCCUCCCCCUCUCCCCACCGGUUCUCUCUCUCUCCUCCCCCCUCCCCCCACCGGUCUCUCUCUAGUAAUCUAGUUCUCUCUAGCUCUCUCUCUCCUCCUCCUCACCCCACCGGUUCUCUCUCUAUCCCCCAUUCUCUCUCUAACUCUCUCUCUCUCUCUCUCUCUCCUCCCCUACCUCUCUUCACCUCCACCCCCACCGAGAGAGGGAGGAGAGAGUGAGUUAGAGAGAGAAGGCUAGAGGCUGGUCGCACUACAAUAAAAACGGUCUAUAGCGACACUUUUAAAUAUAGGUGCAUGUCAAAAAAGUACUGCUAGCUAAAAUUACCGACACUUUUAAAAAGUGUUGCUAUAUGUGGGGUCGCUAGGUAUAUAGUGACAGUUAAAGAGUGUCGCUAUAACCUAAAAGAGUGCUGCUAAUUUACCAACACUUAUUUAAGCAUUUAGCAACUGCCGAAAUUCUAUCUCGUUGGCUGCGGUGGCUGAGGAGGACGACCGUAAAGGCUCUUCGUCUAGAAUUUCAGUGGAUUGAGUGAAGAGAGAAGAAAUGAUAGUAAUUGAUUUUUCUUUUUUUUUUCUUUUCCGUUUGUAAUCGGGCCAAAUGGACUGGGUGUGGUGGGUUGAGUAGAGUAAUCUUUUAUUUUUGGUUGGAUUGGGCUUUAUAUUUAGGCAUUAGUAGAUGUGUUUUUAAGUUUUAGCAUAAAUGGGACACUUACUCAAAAGUGUUCCAAACAUGUGUCCCUAUAACCUAAUUCUGUUGUAGUGUCGGGAUGGGGGUAGGGGUGGGGGUGGAGGUGAAGAUAGGCGGAGAGAGAGAGAGAGCUAGAGAGAGAACUGGUGGGGGAGAGGGGAGAGGGGAGAGGGUAGAGAGAGAGAGAGUUAGAGAGAGAGUUAGAGACAGAAAGGAGGGUACAUAGCCGGGAAAGAAAGAGAAAAUCUCUCUUAAUUAUCACUAAAAAUAAAUUUUUAACAUGUUUUUUUUUUUGUUUUUCUUAAUCAGUUCAAAUAAGACUAGAUUAAAAAAUAUUUUGAACAUGAGGCUAAAUUGGUAAAUUUGUUUUUCAAUAAGACUAGACAAGAAAUUGGCUCGAUUUCCUUAUAUAUGCUUGAGUUAGAUUUUGCCAAUAAUAUAUUGACUAGUACAUGUCAUAUACAUAUAUUGGUUUUCGGUGCAUUAUAUAGAACUGCUAACAAAGAGUGCUGUUUAAUUAAUUUCUUAUUAUAACCGACUUUUUCUAAAGCAAAUGGCAAAGGAUUUGAUGGUUGAUACUUGAGACCCAAGUUCGAAUCCUAGUUGAAUCCUUUAUGUUGAUAUUCCACGAUAUUCCAGGUUACUGAGUUAAAAAGAUUUUAAUAAUUAAUUUUCUUGGGAGGAAAAGAUUCUUAAUUGAGACCGUUGGUUGUUAUAACCAAAUUAGUAUGCGAGUCCUCUUUCGUGGAAUGCUAACCCCAAAAGUUUGAGUUAACGUUUGAGCUGUUCCUUUUCGUGCUCUAAAAUGUCGAAAAUAAAUGGAUUAGCUGGAUUAAAAGUUCUCGUUCUUACUUCGUUUUCAGUGACAAAUGGACCUGCAGAAGUGGUAGUUGUUGGGUGAGAGAUGUAAUAGAUCAGAAGGCUUGCAAAUAUAGCACAGGUACAACAUCAAGUGCAACUUCACAAGGUAAGAAUUCCUGCCAAGUUGGCCAUAACGGUUGGGAAAUUAAGAACAGGAUAGAGUUGUUUCUUUAUUUCCACAAAUGUGGUCACUUUUGUAUCUUGCGCGUUUGUCUUCUUUUAUCGCGUUAUAUAUAUAAACAUAUAUCUAUAGAUCGUAGCAACUUAAGUAGACCUGAUCCUGUGAUCAUUUCUCUAAAAAUCUUUUUUUUUCUUUCUUUUUUUAAUCAUAUUCAUUCGAGAAGUCUAUGUAUGCUGGAUAUAAGAACAGAUAAAUACCUCUUGCAUGAUAGAAUUGAAUAUAUAGCUCUUGGUUUACUCUUUCCUGUUUUGCAUAUUGAGCUCUUCUUUCCUAUUUGUGGCAAUUUAUUUACAGGAAAAAGCUUAAUUAACGAGAUAAUUUCUAAUCAUUUUUUAUGCGCUUUGUUCUCGAUCGUUCCUGUUCUCAUGAUUAAUUGCUAGCGCUGAAGCGACAUUGAAUACUGUUUCUUCUUAAUUAGCUUGGUUCUUAUUAUUAAUUCGUGAUCAGAGUCCCGUUGUCAACAUCGGGGGGAUUCGUGAUCAGGGAUUGACCAAUGAUUUCGCAGUGCUAAAUUUAAGUCACAACCACUAGGCUAUGUACGAAGGUUGUUAUAUAUAGUUGAAAUCAUAAAGAUCUGAUGAAAUUAGCAUUAGAUUUGAUGGACUUUAGAGCUACUAUAAUACGUGCCUAGCAACUGUGCUGCUCAUUUUUAAAAGAGGAUUUGUUAGAUAUCAACAGUGACUCAAAUAUUAUUCACUUGUGCAGUUCUUGCUUCUCGAACAUGGGCUUAGAUAUAUAAGGUUAAUUUAGCAGGUUAUUAAUUUAUCCAUAUAUAUAUAUAUAUGUUGAUUCCUCUUGUCCUUAAAAAAAGUAAUCGAGUGCAAGGAUACUGUGUUUUUAGUGCGAAUCACUUACGACUCGCGUGAGUGGCGGAUUUGCGCUUGAUUUUGAUCUAAACAAGUAACUUGUCAAAUGAAAUGUCUGUCGAAGAAGAGAAAUGAUCGAUCGAUGAAUCCAAGUUUACGACCAGACCAGUUUUGACUGAAGUUAACAAUAGAACUUUUUCCAUAAAUUAUAAAAUAGGUUGAACAAGAUAUAUAUUCACGAAUUAAUGGUCUCACAUGUACCCUUUUAGGUGAUAUUUCUUGUAUGUGGUAGGUCCAUUAAAAUAUCACGCAUGUGUACAUCCAGGUACUGGUGAAGGGGAGAGUCUCUGUGUAAAUUAUUCUCAGCCUUUUUCAUGUGGUUUAACUUUAGCUUGUUGCCAACGCCAAAUGAUGCAAGGAUUGGAGAAAAAAGUAGGCAUAGAUAACAAAGCAGAGGAGAAAAAAAAGGAAGCAAAGGUGAAAAGCCCCUUUCCUUCCUUUUUAGUAGCUGAUACUUGUCGCAUUGACUCCUUGUAGUAGCUGAUGCCACCACUACUAUCCUUUUUCAGCUGCCUCCUAUUGUAGGAUUAGUUGUUAUCUACUUAAUUUUCUAACUCUAGCAUGGUUUAGUUUUAAGGGGCAAUUGUUUAUAUAUCCUUAUAAAAUUUUUUAUUUUUUUAUUUAUCCCUCUUAGAAGGCUAAUAUUGAAAAUAUCUUUUUUACGUUCCAACCUAUUUCAAAUAUACUCAUAAAGUUAAAUACUAUUAAUGAGCUCUGUUAUCUCUAUAAAAUUACUAUUUUGCCCUUUAAAAUAUACCUUUCUACCAUCACUGAUUUUUCUUAUUUAUUCUUAAGUUAGGGGCGCAAAAAUUAUUUUGCUUUUUGGUCAUUUCAAAUAUACACUUCUACCAUCACUAACAUUUCUUAUUUGCCCUUAAAUGAAGGGCAAAAGAAAUAUUUUAAUUUUUUAAAACUCUGGUAGAUAGAUAUUUAACUCACGUUUAACUCAAAUUAACUUACCGAGUGCCGACUAUAAGGGUAUUUUUGAAUAACGGAGAAAUAUAUAAAGGGUAUAUUAGAAAGAAAAAAAUAAAAAUAAAAGAGAUAUUUUUAAAAUUUUAAGAGGUACAUAGGCAAUUAUCCCUGGUUUUGAAUUCGAUUUGC